UGAAUUUUCUGUUGAUAUUUUCAGGAUCGCAUGUAAUAUUCUCUUUUCUUUCCCGUCUAUUGAACAAAGUUCUUUCUGUAGUCAUUUGGGUUGUUCCGCGGACAUGGCCCCUCUUUAAUGUUAUCUGAUCUUUGUAUCAACAAUGAAUCAGCCUUACAAAUGGAAGAUUCAUUUUCUGUUUAUUUCUGCAAUUUGGCUUCUGCCGAAGCAGCCUUGUAAAACCAACACUUUGAACAUGAACAUUCAGAGUGCCGAUUUGAGCAAAAUAACUGAGAAGAAUCACACACUUUGGCAGCUUCAACACUUAGUACUACUAGUAGAUAUCUGGAAGCCUCUUUGUUGGCAUGUGAAAUCCUGAUUACGGAAUUCAUAUGUACACAGUAAUGCAUCUGUGCUUGUUUUCUGAAAGAUAGGAGUAUAUAUAUGGUUUAUAUCAUUUUGGUAGCUGAUAAGAGAUACACCAGUAAUUGGGAUACACUGAUUGGUCCCUAGACUAGGCUGAUGACAACCAAGCAUUAUUAGAGCAGUAAUUACGGUGACGCUGAAGUUUUAGUCUUUCAGAGCAACACGCCCAUAGCUUGCAUAAACGUGCUGAUUGCAGGGAGGCAUCAUCUGUUACAAAUAUAAAUGAAGAUAACAUCAAUCCACACCGUCCUCUUGGUCGCUGUCAAUCAUAUCAUGGUAUUUGUUCAUCAUCUGUAGCAAAUGGAUACAAGGAAUUGCAAAAGGUGCCACAUAUGUUACCCCCUCCAAUCCAAAUUAAUUGUCGCAGCCAUAGUACAAUUUUGUAAAAUUAAUUUGAAUUAAAGGGAGUAUCUGGAAUAUAAAAGAUUAAGUAAUCAGUAAAUUGAGGAAUAGGGCAAAUGGUCAACAAAUCCAAGUAAAAUGGGGGCUAAUCAUGUAAUCCUAAGUAAAGGGAAGCAAAUGAUCAAGUCCCCAAAUAAUGCGGGGCAAAUGAUCAAGUGCCCAAAUAAUGCGGGGCAAAUGAUCGAAUCUCCCUUCUGAAAUAAGCAUCAAGCCAAGUUUUAGCAAGGUUCAUCUCCAACAAUUAAAAGCACAGGUUAGAUAUACAUAGCUUACAUAGUUGCCUUCUUAUGAACAAUCUCAGAAUCAACAUCUCUAUCUAAGAAGGAUUUCUUCAGGUGUUUCUUUCCCCCUUUUCUCAUCAUCAUGGUCAGUCUCAGAAUCAUCUUCUGAAUCAUACCCAUGCUUACCCUUCUUAGAACUUGUGCUGUUGCCAUUCCCUUUUUUCCCCUUACUCUACGCCUGUUACCAUAAUUGAAAGCCCUCCUGUUGCUCUGAACAUCGAUGUCCAACAUUCUUCUUCAGAACCCAUCCUUCCCAGGUACAAGCUCCCCACUGUCUACUUGAGCGUUCCUCUUCUGUCCAACCUCAGCAUCUAGCCCAAGAGCAGCCCUCAUCGCCUCGAGCUUCUUCUCCUUGCGUGCUGCGACAUGGUGGCUCUGCAUACCCAUGAACCUGAGAAGAGUUUACCUUCUUGUCAGGAAGCAUUGCCAAACUACCUAACAGAAGAUACAACUGCACACAUGAACUGUAAAAUAACAGUACAGGAAACCAAGAUUAUGCUUCACUAGGAACAGCAUAAGCUACAAGUUGUCAUACUGAACCGAAAUUCAGGAGUCAAUUAUGCUUUCAAUGUGAAUAUCCUCCAACAGCAAAUGAAGAAAUCAGAUUGAAAACUUGCACAUGAACGCAUUGCCAAAUAUCUGUCACUGGCCUCCUUCUCAGAAUUGAAAAAAAAAACAUAUGAGCGGUUCUUGGACCCAUACCCUUCGCCCGGACGCGGUGCUGCACCCCCGGCGCCGCCGCGGGCAGCCUCCAGCUCGGCUUUCUUGCGCGCCUCCUCGACGCGCUCCUCGAUCUCGCCUUCCGUGUAGCCCUGCUCCUCGAGGGUGUCCCUCAGCUCGACCAGCCGCAGCUCCACCUGCCGCCUCCGGUCGUGCUCCAGGAUCUCCUUGUUCGGCUUCCGCGUCCCGGCGGCGCCGUCGUCGUGGCUGUGGAGCGGCGCCUUGGGCGGCGGGCCGCCGGUCCGGGGCUGGAUGAAGAACUUGUUGGUCUGGACGUGCCCAUUCGUGCCGGACCCGCGCGCCGUCUGCAGCCCGAUGCCGUUGUACAUGGCGGCGACGACCACGGCGACGGCGACGGCGGUUCAGGCGAAACCCUAUGCUUUGAGCGAGUUGGGCUCGAUCCCAACUGUAAGACGACGGGACGAGGCGAGAAGAGGAGUGGGCCUGAUUUUAUUUUUACCCAAACGAGUUCGAGACGGUGUCUGAUUCGGAUGGGCCUAAAGAAAAAGAUUCGGGUGGGCCGUGCACGUGUGUGUACAAAGGGUUCUACUAAAUAAAAACAAAUCUUCUUCUCAAAAAAAAAAAAAAUCCAGGCUUUCAAAUAUUCGGGGAUCUUAGACCCGGCAAUUUUUGAAGCUUUGGCAAGCCCUAUCUCUUGCCUUGAGUCUCUCCCUCUCACAUGUGACCAUAGUAUCGGAUUGCAAGGAUGUGGUAGAUGACUUGAAGGAAGGCACGAGAGGCAAAUAUGCAAGCAUUAUCAAGGAGAUUAUAGUAACAUCAAGGCAAUUUGAGAGAUGCUCCUUCAUCUUCGAAGGACGUGGCACCAAUAUUGAGGCACAUAGUAUCGCUAAGCACGCUCUAGGAUUUUCAGUUGGACGUCAUAUGUGGCUCCUUAAUACCCUGAACAUAAAUUUAUCCCCAUGAACCUUGUUUAUGAUCAUUAAUAAAGAGUGUGGCUAGACUAAAACAUACUCCCUCUAUCCUAAAAUAUAAGAACGUUUUUAACACUACACUAGUGUCAAAAACGUUCUUAUAUUAUGGAACGGAGGGAGUACUAAAUAAAGAGUGUGGAUAUGUCAGCUACACUACCCUGACGACAUCCAAGCAUGAUUAGAGCAGUAAUUAUGGUGACGCUGAAGUCUCACUCUUGCAGAGCAACACACUGAUAGCUUGGCAUAAACGUGUUGUUUGCAGGGAGGCAUCAUCUGUUGCAAAUAAACGAAGACAACAUCAAUCUGACUGUCUCUGCACCGUCCUCUGCUUCUUCGUUUCUGAUCAAGAUCGGUGUCAAUCAUAUUAUUUGUGGUAUCUAUCUUACUAAUGGCUAUGUACCUGUGUGAAAAGGAGUGCUACAAAAUGCACACUUUUUUCUCCUUUCAAACAUCAAGGAGCACGGGUGCCCACGACACGAGAAAAGCAACCACAACACCAAAGGCGAAGAAACACCGAGAUUUGUUUUGUUUUACGUGGUUCAUCACACAUGCAGGGAACUGAUAUUAACAGUUGACGGCGCACAUUUCACGCAAAAUGGUGUUAGAAUCAGGCGUAGUAGUAUUGUUUAUAAAGAGGUUGUAUCUGGAUCGACUGACAAAAGAUGCAUUCAUUGGGUGCCCUGUUGAUCCGAUUAUAUUACUGUAAAGACGAGUUGGAAACUAGUAAAUCAGAAAAGAUGGAAAGGGAUUGUUUUUCUGCAUCAUGUGCAUUGCCGGUUAAUUCGGUAUUUAUUUCGCCGUGGCGUCGUUUUCAGUGUGAUUUGUUUCAGUUUUGGUGGUGUUGCUCAUGGAUUGGAUGAGGCCAAGAAGGAUCGAGGGAACGAACAUGUCAGCUACCUGCCUACAUUAACUUGAUUCAACUCAUCAUCCAACCCUCCAAGGCCCCAUGGUGAUCAAUCUUUGUUUCAUCCGACACGGUAAUCAGAUGUGAUGAUGCUGAUGCAUGCCUGAAUUCACUGCUCAAAAUUCACUCGAUAGAACCGUCAUCUGCAGUCAGCUGACCUCGCACCGCAAGGCCAAAGGGAGCUGAUCACAAGGAUUUUCUUCAGCUUCUGAAAGGGAAAGUUCUGUCGACACUGACAGUUUAUCUCAAAGAAGGAAGUGGAAGAGCAUGAGUUGAUCAGAGUGAGUGAGACGCAUCUGAAGUGACCAAAGCUCAAGUAUGUCACCAUGCCUACCUGUCCUGACACGAGAAGCCCAGGCCAAAAGAGGCUGGAGAUGUGUCCGGGCAGGCCAUACAUCAGUAGACAGGUCUGAAGCCAAGCAUGAUCCUUCCUGGGCGUCCAUGGCGAAUGCGUCCUAUCCUUGAAGAUGGCAUACAGAAAUUUAAUCUGAAGAAACCCAACGAUCACUCAAUUAAGACAGAUACCGUCUCGGACACUGUAUGCAGUAGUAGAGAAGUUCACGUCGAGCGACCCGAGUGCAGGUCUCUGUCCCGUGCUUCCAUCAGUCCAUGAUGUUCGACCAGGGUUCGUUUCACAGCUCUUUUCAGGGAUCUUCGCAGAUGCAAGACCGAAAGCGAUCAAAUUUAAGACUAUCUCGAUCGAUCGGGUUACUAGAGUCUCUGCUGUUGCAGAUCAAGGGAAUUCGUGCAGAGGAAGCUUGUUUGGCUUGUUUUAUUUACCUUGUCGGCUGUCGAGCAAACGUAAAAAAAUGGCAAGCAUAUCAGCACCUAGUUCUCCUCCUCCACAAGUUAACCUGAAAGUCAAAAUAUGGCCGGUCACUCGACGGUGAAGUCACAACUUGGAAAAAGGCAGGAGAGAGCGCUGUACGUAGGGGGCUGAUGAUUUACUCCCCCAUUAUCUCGAUGUUACUGCGUGCCACUCUAGUGAAACAUUAGUGUAUCCUCUGUUAGACAUAGUUUUACCAAGUAAAACGGUUCACAAUACAAAUUUUGGAAAAGCGCUCUCUGUUUACCACAUCUCAAGCACAGCUAAGCUAUAUCAGCUUUGGCUAUGCUGGUGUGAUCAGUUGGAUGGGCUGCCAACGCGAAGCACCAAACCAGGUGCCGGCAUCCUCCCACGCAAGAAAAAAAAUUAAUUGACGCGGUCCAUUAUUUACACAGUGACUGCAAUUUCCAAUUAUUAGAUGAUGAUGAUGCGUUGGGUCUUCCCAGUUAGACUACUCGGCACGUGUUACACGCGUGAUGUGAUCCCUGACAUCAUGUGAAAAGCAUAAAAUGGAUAUUAGCCAUAUACAAAGCAGUCAUUUUUAUGUCUGGCUGAAUUAACUAUCAACUUGGCAAAACUGAGGGUGGUCUUGAAUGGGAGACCUCAUGUAGUGGAAAGUAUCAUAAAUUAGUGGUGUUUGUUAGAUAUACGUCGGGACUAUCACAUGGCUGAACACCCCUCCCCCCUCCCAUGAGCGACGAGGGGCAAACCCUAGUCGCUAGCCGGUAUCGCCCCCCCCCCUCCCCCUCCGAUUCCCUCGCCGACUGCAUCGCGCGUCUCACGCCACCAUCGUCAUGUUGGUAGUNNNNNNNNNNNNNNNNNNNNNNNNNNNNNNNNNNNNNNNNNNNNNNNNNNNNNNNNNNNNNNNNNNNNNNNNNNNNNNNNNNNNNNNNNNNNNNNNNNNNNNNNNNNNNNNNNNNNNNNNNNNNNNNNNNNNNNNNNNNNNNNNNNNNNNNNNNNNNNNNNNNNNNNNNNNNNNNNNNNNNNNNNNNNNNNNNNNNNNNNNNNNNNNNNNNNNNNNNNNNNNNNNNNNNNNNNNNNNNNNNNNNNNNNNNNNNNNNNNNNNNNNNNNNNNNNNNNNNNNNNNNNNNNNNNNNNNNNNNNNNNNNNNNNNNNNNNNNNNNNNNNNNNNNNNNNNNNNNNNNNNNNNNNNNNNNNNNNNNNNNNNNNNNNNNNNNNNNNNNNNNNNNNNNNNNNNNNNNNNNNNNNNNNNNNNNNNNNNNNNNNNNNNNNNNNNNNNNNNNNNNNNNNNNNNNNNNNNNNNNNNNNNNNNNNNNNNNNNNNNNNNNNNNNNNNNNNNNNNNNNNNNNNNNNNNNNNNNNNNNNNNNNNNNNNNNNCAAGAGGGAUAUGCCUGGGGCUUGCUUGUCAGCAGCUGUCUGCAGUCACUAAGUUGUCUCCCUAGUCCACCGGGACUCGAUGGGGACGCAGGCGUGGACGCUUCAUCGCUAGACCGUCGUGACUUGGUGGCUGAUGUCAGGCUAGGAGUGGAAGGAGGCGCCCUCCGCUACCCCCCCCCCCCUGCUUGUUUAGCAUGAUGUGAUGUAGACGGUUGCCGGUGUCUUCGAGACAUGGAUGCUGGGGCGACGGACCGGGUGAUAGUGCCUAUGGUUGGCUCUGAGGGCGAACAUCAUAACUGCAGUGGUCUCUAUGUCCAUUAUUUAUGUGGGCGGCAAGGUGUGUAGCGGAGGGUGGUCGGGCUCGUUCUCUUCCGUUGACACGACGAUAUCGAGAUCUAGAUCUAGAGGAUUGUACUCAUCGCGGUCGUACUGAGUGCCUCGUGAUGGAACAUGCGAGCUACCGAGCGAAAGCUUCACGCUUUGGGCGCGACGGGUGCCCGUGGGUACCUCUAUCCUCUUGAGGAUGUCGUUGUGGUUCUCCUCUCCGAGCCAGGGUUUCGGGUGAAAACUCAUGUCUGUUUCGGACUCAGCAGCAGCGACACUUAGGGUCGUUUCCCCUUCCUGAGGGAUUUAUUGGGGAGCUUAGGUGUUCUAGGGCGUGACUAGGUGUUGUCUUCAAGCCUUCAUGUUCUCUAUCUCUCAACAACGUAGCCAUUUUGUUUUUCACCUUUGGCAUUUUUUGAUGGGAUAUAUGUUGUCUGGUUAUGAACCAUGAAUGAUUUUACAAAAUGCUAUUCGGUUUCACCGAUCUGAUGUUGACCAUGUUUUAAUUUGCUCAGUUUUGUAGCACAACUGUUGAAUUAGGGGGACCCACCUACUCCCACGACCUAAGUGGCGACCAAUCUUGCCUCCUCUCUGAUGUUGGGUUGUUGGGUUGCAGGCCUCCUUUGCCUUUGUCUAUCGCUCUGAUGACCGGAAUUGGCGGGUACCCUUGGUCUCCGCUCCGAUAGAGGUACAGUCGAAUAAAGUUAGAUUUUCUUCGAUCGACGAUGGCGAGAUGAUGGCGGUGUCGUCAGUAUGAAAUAAGGUCUUCCCGUCUUGUUCUCGUUUUGGUGGUGUGGGUGUAUACAGACACGAGGCCCGUGGAGGAUGCGGUGCUCGGCGAUGGUGGCACUUCAUCAUUAAGACGGAGUUCUCAUACCGUCCUUGCCUCCGCGUCACUCCUAGCUUGGCCUUGUUAGACGUCCCCAAUCUUCGCUGCCACUCGACAUGUCGUCCUGUCUCCGCCUUAGAGUAACUCCAAUAGCUCCCAUAUCCAUAAGAAAACUAUUGUUUACAGGAAGUUCGGGUGAAAAUAGCCCUCCAAAAGCCCCGUAAACCCAGAUUUUUUUAUGGGAUCUCAUAUAAUUGCCCCCAACUCCCCACCCUCACGCCGUUGUCGCCGAGUCACGUCACCACCAGUACCGCCGACCACCGCCGCCGCGUCACCACCAGCACCGCAUGAAGUUUCACACCGCGACGCCAGGAAAGGAGCUCCCUCAUGUGCCCCGCCCCGGCCACACCGCUCGCCGCCCAUCGGCGAGCCUCCCCACCGUUGCGCUUCCUCUUCCUCCUUCGGCCACCGCCAUGCCAUCACUAGCACCGCCAACCACAGCCGCUUUGGCGAGUUCCGGCAACGUGCCAUUCAUAUAGACGUGUUUUAGAAUGUAGAUUCAUUUAUUUUGCUCCGUAUCUAAUCCACAUUAGAAUCUGUAAGAAACUUACAUUAAGAAACGGAGGGAGUACUAGACAACUUGUCAUAAAUUAUAUGAUCAUCCCAUAAAUGACCUUUAGGGAAGGUCUUUGGAAAAGCUAUUGGAGCUGGUCUGCUUCGCUUAAAAUCAUCUCUUCCCCCUCUCCGGCAAUUGACCAACAGCAUGUCAGUGCACUUUAUAAGUCGGCCACGCGCGCGUGUAUUUACGUCAAGGUCGAUCGGCGCUGUCUCUGGUCGGCCGACGGACGAGCCACUGCGGCAUAUGUAGCGCUCUUCCUAUACCGCCAUGUGGCGACGGGCCACCACAAAUGGAAAUGGUGGUGCACAACUGAUCUCUCCCUCUCCGUCGACAGUUUUUACGGUCAUGCGACGGUGCUGCCCAGAUAUGUCUGGUGCAUGGGAUGGAUCUACCCCAAGGCGAAAAUCUUUUUUUUUUUGGCAUGGUCCCGGGGCGAAAAUGUGGAGUAGAACAAUUGCUUCUUUCUUCCCUUCCCAUAUGUGGGCCCCGUGAAACUUCUAUGUGCAGCUACGCGUCAAACGGGAGACGCGACGAGGCCUUCGAUGAGACCAACGGAACCUCGAGCCACAUUACUGAUUACUAUAUAUGUAUCACAUCCUAUAAUGCAACACACCAGUCACGUCAUGGUCAUGGACACAUGGAGAGCGAGCGACAAUGGCCACGUAACUUGGAGAAAAGUCCACAUUUCAACCCUCAACUAACCACGACGUUUGAUUGUCAACCCUCAACUCUAAAACCGGUCGGAUUUCAACCCUGAACUUGUCACACUGUCCAUUUUACCCCCCUUGACUCGGUUUGAGGCUAGUCAAGUGGUUUUGACCCGGUCAAAGCUGACUGGGCAGCCCAAUCAGCAUGCCAUGUGUAAAUCUAAAAAAUGGAUGAUUUUCUCAAUCUAUAAAUCCAUUAAAGUUGAAAAUUUCCCAGGUAUCUAAACAUCAUAUGAGUGUUGUUGUGUAAAAAUUUCAGAAUUUUCUGGGCACUUUUUUUUCGGUUCAAAAUUUUGACCGAAUAGUGGCUGAAUUUGAAAAAUUGAUGGUUCUCUCAAUCUAUAAAUCCAUUUAAGUUGAAAAUUUCCCAGCUAUCUAAACAUCAUAUGAGUGUUGUUGUGUAAAAAUUUCAGAAUUUUCUGGGCACUUUUUUUCGGUUCAAAAUUUUGACUGAAUAGUGGCUGAAUUUGAAAAUUUGAUGGUUCUCUCAAUCUAUAAAUCCAUUUAAGUUGAAAAUUUCCCAGCUAUCUGAACAUUAUAUGAGUGGUGUUGUGUAAAACUUUCAGAAUUUUCUGGGCACUUUUUUUUCGGUUCAAAAUUUGGGCAGCAUUUGGGCAGCAUUUUGGUACCAUUUGGUAGCAUUUGGUCAUCAUACGGAAAAGAUGAUUGCAAACACACAUAGAUGUCUCAAAUAGAAAACAUAGAUGUCUCACACACAAUACAUAGAUGAGGUCUCACACACAACACAUAGAUGUCUCACACAAUACAUAAUGCAUUUCUGGCAAGCAGCGAUGUUGCUAGCUGAUUCAUGAUUGAAAUCCAAGCAGCCUUCGAAACCCCGUAUACUUGUUUGUGUGCUUGACAACUCUGCUGCUAGCUCUAGCGCUAGAAUUGCCGGUAGAUACAUUAACAUUGACAUUGGAGCUUCUUUGCACAUUAAUUGUAUUUCCGGAGAAAUUGUUGGACCUGCUGCUGCUUCCAGUUGGCGCCCUUCUCUUUGGGUUAGGUGCAGCCACUUCCUCAGUGGCCUUCCUUUUGCUCUGCCUAGUGCUGCUCUGGCGUGAAGGCUACAAGAAACAUGGCAAAUGUUAGUUAUAUAUACAUGAUAGUGUAAUCAGGUUUGCUCAUGCAUAUUUCCUGGAUAGUGUACCAUAUCUGGCCCUUGACUAGCACAUGGUGCUUCACUACUUGUUGCAGUUUGGCUUGCAGCAGACUGUUUGGAAGCAGCUGAUGGUGCUUUACUUCUAGCAGGACCUUGGCCUUGCUCAGGAGUUGGUGUAUUUGAACUCCCUGUGCCAUUUCUUGCUUUGCAUGAUGUCCUGUUGUGCCCAUGUAGCUUGCACAUGCUGCAUCUUAUCUUUGUACCUCUCUUAGAAACCCUAGUGGCACACCUUGGCUUCUCUUGUUGCUCUCUGGUCCUUUGCUUUUUCUUCCUACCGGGCAUCAUAAUCUCCCCUGGUGGAUUAGGUCUUGGCCUCUCAGACACAGGCCAUGCAGGUCUGCCUUCCACAGGUUGAAGGCAAAAAGCAUAAGUUUUCUUGAAUGCUUCUAUGCUAUAGCACUUGUCAAUGUAAUCAUCUAUGUUGUUGGUUUUGAAAAAAAUGCAUGAUAUAGCAUGAGGGCAUGGAGAUGAGAAAUCCAGAGGAUCCAUUCAAUCUACAAGAGAUGAGAAAACAGAAUAAGAAAUCAUUACUACGGUUUCAGCAACAGAGAAAGGGGGAAAAUCACUAUUAACAAGGGGUGCAAGGGCAGGACCAGCAGCAGCAGCUAGCCCAAGCUAGCAGCUUGCCGGCGGUGGCAGCACCAACAACUCGCCCAAGCUAGCAGCAGCAGCUCGCCGGCGGCUAGGGUUAGCAGCAGCAACUAAAAUCUAAGGGAAACAGAGGGAGGAAGGGAGGGAAGAGAGGGCAAACCUGCGGUGGAGGUGGGGGUGGUGGCCACGGCCGGCGGCGUUCCAGGCCGCGGUGGAGGUGGUGGCCGCGGCCGGCAGCGUUCCAGGCCGCGGUGGAGGUGGUGGCCGCGGGCGGCGGCGUCCCAGGCCGCGGUGGAGGUGGUGGCCGCGGGCGGCGACAUCCCAGGCAGCGGUGGAGGUGCUGGCCCCGGGCGGCGGCGUCCUAGGCGGCGGUGGCGGCGUGCCCGGUUACCGGUCGCCGGCGAGGAGGUCAUGACUGCGGGCGGCGGCGACCAACGCGGCGGCAUGUCGAUUUGGAUCGGGGUGAGACUGAACAAACGAGAGAGAGAUGGGGAUAAGGUUGGACCUGUGUGCGUGGCAUGCUGACUGGGCUGCCCAGUAAGCUUUGACCGGGUCAAAACCACUUCACUAGCCUCAAACCGAGUCAAGGGGGGUAAAGUGGACAGUGUGACAAGUUCAGGGUUGAAAUCCGACCGAUUUUAGAGUUGAGGGUUGACAACAAACGCCGUGGUUAGUUGAGGGUUGAAAUAUGGACUUUUCUCCGUAACUUGCCGUUGCGGAUGUGCACGUACGAUCUGAGGUGCACUGCACUGCACAUUGUAGGCACCUCUUGGGCCUUCCUACGGGAUCCCUAGCUUAAGAGCAUCUCCAACGGCCGCACAAAAAUUUCGCGCCCAAUAAAUAGUAUAGCGCGUCACUGUAGCACUUUUAAAGCGUCGGGACCAACUUUGCUUUAGCAGGUGCCUAAAAACGCGCGCCCAAAAAGUAGACAGUGCAAAUUGUGAAGCGCGCGUAAUCCGGCGCCCCAAAUAUGCUGCGCGCGAUAGCGUUUUUCAGCGCGCGCGCAAAAACAUUUAGCGCUACAGCUUCUGCUGGAGCUGUCCGGCGCCAAAAAACAAACUUUUAGCAUGCGAAGCUCUUUUUAAGCGCCUGUUGAAGAUGCUCUAAGGUAGCUAUCCUUCUCGAGAAGGAAAGCCCCUAACACCAGCAUGCAAAACAUCAGAUAAUUAAACCUGUAUGUCGUCGAAUGCUUGAGACUCCUGGACUCCUGGUCACUCGCUGUACUCUGUAGCGUAGCUCUAAUGCGCAGGCCACGCGCCGACGCCCGUACGUUGUUGACGUCGAGUCGACAGCCGACACCGCCGCGCGCCGCCGGCCUCUGCCGUCGUGGCUCAUCUCCCACGCGCCGCCUAGAUCGUUGCCGACGUAAACGCAUACGCGCGGUAUACGUACGUACGUCUCUGCUCUUCUGCUCGCUUUACGUCGACAAUUUUUACAGUUACGUGACGGUAGUAGCUACCCUGUUCGUUCGGCACGGAAUCUUGACCGUUGAUCCAGGCCGGCCGGCCGACCACGGACCAGGUGCCGAUUUUAUAACGUGACGGGACUCCCUAGCUAAGCUAGCCACCAAGAGAGCCGCCGGCUCGUUGCGGUGGAGCGCAGCGUUUGGAAAUCCAACUUCCCCUUCUCUGGGAGGUGGGGCCCACGGCCGCUACGCCUACCGCCUACACGUCAAAUGGCAGACGCUCCAGCUCGGCCGCCGGCGUCAGCGUGUCUCUAACACGAAGCUCGAUUCGAAGACAACAAUGGCCUGAUUACACUCAACACAAAGCUAUUCAAACACAGCAGUCGCUCUCGUGGAUCGAUCGACGUGUUUGUCCACGUACGUAGAGAGUGAUGAGGUGCCGAUCGGCGUGUUCCAGGCGUGAGCUCUGCUAGCUCUGCCGUAUAUUACUACGCGCGCGCGCGCCGGCCGAGCAGCGGCAGCACCAAUUAAGUUCGCGCCAAAUUAGGCAAGCUAGCGAGCACUGCACGUACGCGUGGGCGCGCUCUGUCUGCUGCCAAAAGGCGUGCAAACCAAAGCUUGAUUAGUAGCGCGCGGAGGCCGGCGAUGAGGCCACGGCCGCCGGCUAUCGUGAUCAGCCUCCUCCUCCUCCUACUACUCGCGGUGCCGAGGCAUGGCGCCGCGGCCGGAUGGGGCGACGGCGGCAUGGUGCGGACGGACGGCACGCGCUUCGUGGCGGGGGACGGCGACCGGACGGUCUACCUCAGCGGGUUCAACGCGUACUGGCUCAUGGAGAUGGCGUCCGACCCGUCGCGGAGGGGCGGGGUGGUGUCGGCGUUCCGGCAGGCGGCGGCGCACGGCCUCAACCUCGCGCGCACCUGGGCCUUCAGCGACGGCGGGCGGUCCCCGCUGCAGUCCUCGCCGGGCGUCUACCACGAGGACAUGUUCCAGGUAAGGCCGGUGACCUCCGUCGACCAGCCUUGCUCGAUGCCGACGUUACGUGCCGACAAAGAAAGCUAGCUUAGCUUGCUCAGUGCAGAAUGACAGCUUGUGUGGUUUGGUUUUGGCAUGCAGGGUCUGGACUUCGUCAUCGCCGAGGCGAGGCGGCACGGGAUAUACCUCCUCCUCUGCCUCACCAACAACUUCGACGACUUCGGCGGCAAGCGGCAGUACGUACAGUGGGCGAGGGAGGACGUCGCCGCCGGCGCCGCCGCCCACAACCUCACCUCCGCCGACGACUUCUUCAACAACACCCUCAUCAAGUCCUACUACAAGAACCACGUCAAGGUAAUCAUCAAUUCAUUCAUCGCCACACGUGCCAUAUACAUACGUGUCAAUGACUACGUUGUCACGUUCAUGAUCUAAACCCAAAUGAUAUGAUGUCUCUCUUCCUCUACGUGUGAUGCAGACGGUGCUGACGAGGGUGAACACGGUGACCGGCGUGGCGUACAGGGACGACCCGGCCAUCUUCGGGUGGGAGCUGAUGAACGAGCCCCGGUGCGGCGCCGAGCCCACGGGCGCCCUGGUGCAGGCGUGGGUGGAGGAGAUGGCGCCGUACCUGAAGACCAUCGACGCAGCCCACCUGGUCACGGCGGGGCUGGAGGGCUUCUACGGCGACGGCGCGCACGAGAGCAAGGACCUCAACCCGUGGGGCAUCUACUACGGCACCAACUUCGUGGCCACGCACCAGGCCGCCGGGAUCGACUUCGCCACCAUCCACCUCUACCCGGACGUCUGGCUCUGGGGCUCCACCGCCGACCAGCAGGCGCGCUUCUUCCGCAACUGGACGGCGUCCCACGUCCGCGACACCGAGCGCCACCUCCGCAAGCCGCUCCUCGUCACCGAGUACGGUAAGUUCCUCUGGGAGGAGGGCGGCGAGAACGCCACGUCCGCCACGCAGAGGAGGGAUGGGUUUCUCGGCAUGGUGCUCGACGCCAUCUACGAGUCGGCGUCGCGGGGCGGGCCGCUCGUCGGCGGCGCCUUCUGGCAGCUGCUACUCGACGGCGACGGCAUGGACGCGCUCAAGGACGGGUACCAGAUUGUGCUCCCCGAGGACGCCCGCGCCGCCAGCAUCAUCAGCGAUCACUCCGAGAAGAUGGCCGAGCUCAGCAAGCAGGACGCCGCGGAGGCCGGUCGCCGGUGGAGUAGGAAGAUCGGCAGUUUUGUCAGCUGGGAUGGUACUCAUCCUUACGUCCAAAAAUUCUUGAUUCGUUUCGUCUCUCUGUUCAGAUCAGUUUCUUCACUGUUUGGUCCCAUUGUAGCUACCUAGGCUGGACUGUAGUAGAGAAAUGUUCAGAUACCUCCCACUGAGUGUAGCAAUUUUGACUUGUUCGACGGUGCUGUCUGAGAAGUUUUAAUUAGCUGACUCGAGAGUUGUAAAUGGAAAGUAGAACUCGGCGUGAGUGAUCCGAGUACACAAUUUCCUUGCACAAGGAUCGAACAUCCUAUACAUAGGCCAUACUGUUUGGCUCAAACCCGAGCAGGGCCAUCUCUGAAUUUCAAUCGGCUAGUUUUGUGAGGUGACCACCAACUUUCUUCACUUGUCCGACGCAACCAAAUGUGUGCAAGUGCUCAACACUUGGUUUCACCUUGUACAUCGCCUCAUAGGGUGCGAUACCACGAACACCCUUAAUUCGUCGGUGCACGAUUCAGGAGGUAAACUGCAGUGAACACUGCUUCACCCAAAACAGUCGAGGCAGCCCCUUGCUCUUCACUAGACCACCUGCCAUGCCAACCACAGUCUGAUUUAAGUAGAGCAUGAAAGGUUAUGUGUCCAAACGAGCAUGCCAUAACCACACUGGUUCAGACUGUUCAAUGUUCAGUAUGUACAGUGUGUUCGAUGCCCUUCUUACUUUCGCCACCACCUUGUGCUCUUUUACUCUUUGUCCAAUAUCGUUAUCAGCCCUUCGUCCACUGAGUACUUGCAGAUAAAUUCAUCUAGUUGCCCCAAACUGAUGAUAUUGCUACUCAACUUCGGAAUGAAGUAAACAUCUGUCGGAAGCCGGUGGUCUCCAUUGUGCGCGACAAAGAGUACUGAGCCACGCCCCUCAAUGCCCACCACUGAACCAUCACCAGAGGGAGCUGAACCAGUGAUUCUUCAGUCCAACUCGACAAACUUCUCAACAUCCCUGGUCAUAUGGUUGCUCACAGCUCUGUCCAAGUACCAAGACUUGUUUGCUAAACUUGACAGCUUGGGCACGACCUUCUCUUCGUGAACAACUUUUCUGAAAAAAGUGAAUAAUGAUUCAAAAUUGUGAAAAAUUUGAAUUCAAACAAACUUUUUAAAUGUGAAUAUUUUUUUGAAAAACAUGAACAAACUGUUCAAUUUCCGAAUAUAUGGUGAAUUUUUUUAUAUACAAAUGAACAAUUUUGUGAUAUACGCUGAACAAUAUUUAAAUACACAUUGAACAUUUUUGUGAUAUACGCUGAACAAUAUUUAAAUACACAUUUAACAUUUUUGUGAUGUACGGUGAAAUAUAUUUAAAUACACAUUGAACAUUUUUGUGAUAUACCUGAACAGUUUAAAAAUAUGAAAUAGUUUUUUUAAACAUGGUGAACAUUUUCUUAAAUUUACAAUGAACAUAUUUGUAUAUAAACAUGCAAUGAGCUUAUGGAGCUAGUCAGCAGUGGGUACCUCACAGAACUGGAAUGAAAAGCCACCAGCACUGUCGGUCGUUAGCCGCAUCUGAGUUGUGAUGGUGUUGUUGUCUUUUGAGUGGCGGGCGUGCUAGGAUGAUGCACUUAUGGAACACUUUGCAUCGCCAAAGAUGAAAUCCAUCGUGCUUUCGAUCCGACGCUCAUGGUAGAGCUGCAUGCGACGUUAGGCGUACAACGUAUCCUGGUAGCCUAAGAUGGCGCAUCGGUAGAUGCCAUGCAUGUCGGAUUCGCACAAGAGUGUCAUCCAUCACCUGAGUUCUUGGUUGAUGAACUCUUGACCUAGGAUGGUUUUCAUUGAUUGAGCGAGCACACACGUCAAGUUAUUUGAUCAAAGACUACACAAAAAACUAUUUGAAUAAAGUUUUGACAAUAUAGGACAUGAUGAAUGUCAAUGUAUGGAGCAUGACUGAGAUGUCAGGCAGUACACACAAUAUGAAUGUGUUUUGNNNNNNNNNNNNNNNNNNNNNNNNNNNNNNNNNNNNNNNNNNNNNNNNNNNNNNNNNNNNNNNNNNNNNNNNNNNNNNNNNNNNNNNNNNNNNNNNNNNNNNNNNNNNNNNNNNNNNNNNNNNNNNNNNNNNNNNNNNNNNNNNNNNNNNNNNNNNNNNNNNNNNNNNNNNNNNNNNNNNNNNNNNNNNNNNNNNNNNNNNNNNNNNNNNNNNNNNNNNNNNNNNNNNNNNNNNNNNNNNNNNNNNNNNNNNNNNNNNNNNNNNNNNNNNNNNNNNNNNNNNNNNNNNNNNNNNNNNNNNNNNNNNNNNNNNNNNNNNNNNNNNNNNNNNNNNNNNNNNNNNNNNNNNNNNNNNNNNNNNNNNNNNNNNNNNNNNNNNNNNNNNNNNNNNNNNNNNNNNNNNNNNNNNNNNNNNNNNNNNNNNNNNNNNNNNNNNNNNNNNNNNNNNNNNNNNNNNNNNNNNNNNNNNNNNNNNNNNNNNNNNNNNNNNNNNNNNNNNNNNNNNNNNNNNNNNNNNNNNNNNNNNNNNNNNNNNNNNNNNNNNNNNNNNNNUCAAAGACUACACAAAAAACUAUUUGAAUAAAGUUUUGACAAUAUAGGACAUGAUGAAUGUCAAUGCAUGGAGCUUGACUGAGAUGUCAGGGCAGUACACACAAUAUGAAUGUGUUUUGGGAGGGGGGAGGGGGCUGAGUUGUGAUGGUGUUGUUGUCCUUUGAGUGGCGGGCGUGCUAGGAUGAUGCACUUAUGGAACACUUCGCAUCGCCGAAGAUGAAAUCCAUCGUGCUUUCAAUCCGACGCUCAUGGUAGAGCUGCGUGCGACGUUAGGCGUACAGCGUAUCCUGGUAGCCUAGGAUGGUGCAUCGGUAGACGACAUGCAUGUCGGAUUCGCACAAGAGUGUCAUCCAUCACCUGAGUUCUUGGUCGAUGAACUCUUGACCUAGGAUGGUUUUCAUUGAUUGAGAGAGCACACACGUCAAGUUAUUUGAUCAAAGACUACAGAAAAAACUAUUUGAAUAAAGUUUUGACAAUAUAGGACAUGAUGAAUGUCAAUGUAUGGAGCUUGACUGAGAUNNNNNNNNNNCUGCUUUGAUUGGAUAAAGAAAUUACUAACAUAGUCUUUGACCAAUGUUUAGCUGAUGCUGGUAGAGAAAAUAGGCUCAAUUCCGAAUUUUCUCACAACAUAUCUAUGUAGUAGGGGUGAUUUUAUGUAGACGUUGUGGGCUCAAUUUACCAAACAACUUUUCACAAACUGCCUGUAGUUUUAUGUAUAUUUGAGCAAAUUUUUGUUUAUUAAAAGAUUGUCUGUAGAGUGACUCCAAUAUAAAGAGGUUGUUACUCGAGCGACCAGCAAAAUAUAUUUGUUGGGCACCCUGUUAAUCAUAUUAUAAGUUAAAACACACGAGUUGGGAAGGGAUUGUUUCUUUUGCAUCACGUGCACUGCUGGUUAUAUACAUAAUUUAUUUCCUUCAUGGAGUCCUUUUUAGCAUGAUUUGUUGCAGUUUCUUGUGUUGUUGCUACUGAAUUGGAUGAGGCCAAGGAGGGAAUGGGUGUCGGCUAACUACCUACAUUAACUUGUGUAAAUAUCAUAAAACUACCACUUUCCAAGAUAAGGUUUGAAAAUACUACCAGAAAAUUGGGGCCUGCACAUAAGAUAACCAUUUGUUUGACAUAUGGGGGCCACAUGUCGGUUUCUCUUCAUUUUCAUUUCCUUUUCUUUUAGCUAUUUUGCAUACUUUUUUCUCUCAGUUUUUCUUUUUUAUUCUUUUUCUUCUAGUUUGCAUUGAUUUUUUUGUGAUAUGUGCUGACAAAUAUUUAAAUACAGAUUGAAAAUUUUGGUGAUAUACGCUGAAAAUUGUAAAAUACGCAAUGAACUUUUUUAAAAUAUGUUGAACAUUUUCUUAAUAUAGGAUGAACGUUUCUUCAAAUAUACAACAUACAUUUCCUUAUAUAAACACACCAUGAACUUUGUAUAUUACAUGAAAAAAUAAAAAAAGGAAAAUGUAGAAGAAAAGAAAAGAAAUAGAAACAGACACAGGAAAAGGCAAGAAGAAAAAUAAAAGGAACAAGCAGAGGAGAAACAACAGAGCAACUCUGGGCUGGCUCGAACUGGGGCGUCAGGAGGCCGAGUUUCAAAUAGGAUCUAUGAAAUGUCUAAAAAAAAAGGGACCUACGAUCUUUUGAGGGCACAAUUGUGUCUCGUCGGCAACUAUCCGUGUCACGUCAAGGAGUCCUAAAUGGAACGGUCCAUAAGCACGCAGGUAGUUGUAAUAUUUUCUUUUUUUCCAAUUAUCAAAGAAAAUGUAAAUACAUAAAUUUCAGGAAACAUAAUAUACUUAAUAUGUUUUUAAAUUUUCAUCGAGAAUUAUAAAAUUUUAAACAUAGGAAAAUUCUUUGUUUAUUUUAAUUUUUGAAAACAUUGAUAGCACUAACAAUGUUUGUAUCAAUUAAAAAUGUUCACGUGUUUCACAAAAAAUUGAGUACAUCCACUUUGAAAAUAUAGAAUUAUCAUGUAAAAAAAGUUCAUGUAAAUAAAAAUUAGUUGUGCACCAUUAAAAAAAUAUACAUUACAUUUAAGAAAACUGUUCGUGAGUUUCAAAAUUGUGUUUCUGACAUUUUAAUAAAAUGUAAAAGAAAACAUUUGCAUUUAAAAAAAACAAUCUUUUGUAUCAUUCAAAAAAUCAACACGUAUUUCAAAAUUGUCUAACACAUAUUCGGAAAAAUAUUCAAAAACAUGUACUUGAAAAUGUUCGAACACACACCAAAAAAAAAAAACUCGCGCCACAACUAAGUUGGGUGCACCAUCGUCGCCAAGGGCAGGUAAACAUUGUGAAACAUGCUUUUGUUCUAUGUUGAAAGUACUUGAGAUCUGACUUGCAAACUCCAUCUAUUAUAUAUACUUANNNNNNNNNNNNNNNNNNNNNNNNNNNNNNNNNNNNNNNNNNNNNNNNNNNNNNNNNNNNNNNNNNNNNNNNNNNNNNNNNNNNNNNNNNNNNNNNNNNNNNNNNNNNNNNNNNNNNNNNNNNNNNNNNNNNNNNNNNNNNNNNNNNNNNNNNNNNNNNNNNNNNNNNNNNNNNNNNNNNNNNNNNNNNNNNNNNNNNNNNNNNNNNNNNNNNNNNNNNNNNNNNNNNNNNNNNNNNNNNNNNNNNNNNNNNNNNNNNNNNNNNNNNNNNNNNNNNNNNNNNNNNNNNNNNNNNNNNNNNNNNNNNNNNNNNNNNNNNNNNNNNNNNNNNNNNNNNNNNNNNNNNNNNNNNNNNNNNNNNNNNCAAGGUGGGUGCAGCUAACCGAUAAGAGUAUAUGCGAUUCAUGUAGAUUUGAGCUUUUUUCAUGGUUGUCUACCAAAACCAAGGUGAUUCUAUAUCAGGAUGAGGAUGAGGCUGUAACUUGAGCAAAGAUGCCAUAUUCAGACAAAGUUGGCUCGUCAUUAGAUGUGAAGGUUGACCCAACAAAACUCCUACAGACACUUCUUCUUGUUUUUUUUAUAUAUUUAGAAAUGGAGGAGGACCCGCGGCCUCUGCAUCUGGAUGAUGCAUUCAGCCAUUUUAUUAAUUAUUCACACAAGACCUUACAAAGUCAUACACCAGUAAUACUAAAGCCACCAUCCAGGCAACAUAUGUCGCUACUGCUAUCCAGUUGAUGAAGGGAUGCUGAUAGACUGAGCCUAAUACCAGACAGACCUCGCAGCCAAACCUAACAUCUAAGACCCGAGGUCCCAACCAGGACACCUGCCGGGUAUGGGGUACCAACCAGUCCGGCGCACUCCUCAACCAGGACACCUGCCAGGUAUGAGGCCGCCGCAGCCACCUGCCACCAAUCCAUUUUCAGUGUUGUACUGCUGCAUCUACCUUGCCUAGUCUAGCUGCCGUCGACGCCACCACGGCGCCAGCGAACGCCACCAUCCUGUACGUAUCCAUCCACACACGCUCGUCGCCGAAGCUCCGCAGCACCAUGCCGCCGGGAUCCGUCGUCGGCCUUGCGGUAGAUGAAACACCGCUCCUCCUCGUCCCCUCCAGCCAGCUCCUGCUCCAAAACGAUGCCCUGAGGAGGGAGCAUGACACUGAAGGCGCCGUCAUCGUCUGAUCCGGUAUACCCAGAUCUAGGGUUUCCCCCAGAACAUCCAGAUCAUGUUGACGCAGUUUGCAACGACGAUGCCUCAACAGGGGGCGUCGGAGACGCCACCGGAUCGUCCCCGGCGACCUCGUCAUUGUGCGCAUCUCAGGACUCGGACUGAAGGUUCAUAUCUAUAACCACGACUCCUCGGUCAUGUGCAGGUUUCGUUGCAGCAAGCACAACUUUCAUGGUGACAUCGAGCAUGCUAUGUAGUUAAGUUAAGUAAGGUGUUAGUGUUGAACUUUUAUGGUGUGUGGCGAGACUUGUACUGGAAACUUGUUCAUAUUUUGGCCAGGAGCAGCACCCUGGCAUGGAGCAGGGAAGGAGGAUACCCCUGUUGUUAAUCUAGACUUAUGCUAUGUAGUUAAGUUUGUUGUCAUUUCCUUACUUGCUGUGUUAAGUUUGCUGUUAUUUCCUUGCUUGCUUUGUUUGAUGUUGUUGUUGUGCUGAUCGUGUGGUGGUAAGGCCACCACGUUUGAAUAGGGUGAGCAAAACACAAACGCUGUUUGCAACCAAACAACUGAAGUUUGCAUCUGCUCACAGCCUACGCACAAAAACGCCAACCAAACAGCAGGGGGUAAGUGCCCCUUCAUGCGAUGCAGACAACCAAACAGAUUGCAUCUGCUGCAUAUGAGGCUGCAUUUCAAGAAUCAGCCUGGCUGAAGAUGAACAUGCAAUACAACUACUGUUGCAAAUUGCAACCAAACACGCCCAUACGGAUCAACGGACGUGUACAAUAUGUUCACACCAGGGACAACUGAAACGAGACUCACCGUACCAUGCCUCCACAACGCAUACAUGCACGUACGUUCGCCUGCCUGCCUAGGGCCGGGCCACGGGUGCUUAUUACACAACCAACCAGAUUGGAACUUAGUAAGUAGCUAGUACUUGGAUCUCAAAUAUCGGCGUACGCCAGCGAACAUGAGAGCAGGUCUUCGUAACAUCUUGACCUUGUGAUCCUUGAAUGGGGAGAGAACGAAUUAGGUUUUGGGAUGUGCUUCGCGCGACUGCUUGCGUUCUUCACCACGGGUCGUCUACCUGCAAGUUCAGGCGUUGUUGCGUGCCGUCAUCGUCAAUUAGGACCAGAGAAAAACAAGCUAUGUAUUAAAAGAGAAGAGUAAUUUAUAGAUCUCUUUAUGUGAAGAUGCAUGACUCUUAGAGGUGUAAGGCAGGUUGACAACCUGUCUUAAUGUGUUUCUAUUGUCUAUGUUUAGCAAAGAUGUUGUUCUACAAAGAAGUUUUGGAGAGAACACACUCAUAUGAGACCAACUGUUAAAGUUGCAGUCUAUGAGACUUCAGCAAUCUCUAGUAAGCUAACGAAGAGACGAGGGAGUACGACAUAUAUGCUCCACCAGCGGGCUAGGCUACUGACAGCCAGGUACUGGUUCUGAAUUUAGGUGAAAUCUAUUUGCACAAAACUUGCAAUUCAAAAAAUAGUCCAUUAUUCAAGUUAUGGGUGGAUGGCUGGAUGUAGCUUAAAGCUCUAGCGGAAGUUCAAUUUAUCAGUCUCUGCUGAAACACUAGUAUACUAAAAGAAAGUAGUGAGAAUAUACAUAUCACUAAUUGGACAAUUAAGAUCCGGUGGGGAUUGUUAGAAUUAAUGGGCUUGGCCAUGUACAUUUAUAGAAAUUCCUAAGUUAAUCUCAAAAACCCAUGACUAAAUGGAAAGAGUGGAAAUGUGACCUUUAGUCCCAUACCACUAUUGGAGGUGGUGUGUGAGAUCAACUUAUGUAGUGGAGUCUCCCUACUUCGGUAAAUGAUUGGUAUGAGGAGAGAAAGAAAACAUCACACAUGUGCUCCCCACGCCAUACCAGAAUGAAGGGUGUGGUCGUGUGACAUGCGCAUGAAUGAAUGGUUUGUCGAAAUCUGGCCGUGGUAUUACAGGAGCAUGGCUUUCUUUUGGUUUUUAUUUUUCUAUAUCCCAAAUAUCGGCGUACACCAGCGAACGUGAGAGCAGGUCUCCAGAACCUCUUGACCUUGUGAUCCUUGAAUGGGGAGAGAACGAAUUAGGUUUUGGGAUGCGCUUCACGCGACUGCUUGCGUUCUUCACCACGGGCCGUCUACCUGCAAGUUCAGGCUUUGUUGCGUGCCGUCAUCGUCAACAUCUGCUUCGGCCGGUCUUCAGCAGCAACGCUGUUAACAACAUCGCCUUCACAACAUCAACAAUUACUUCAUCUACAAACGAUCCCUAUGUGCGCUAUGAUCUAAUCAAGACUCUAAUUAUGGUUGUCGUUAGAUGUGUGAUGAUUUUGUUCAUGAUGUUUAGUGCAUCUAGUAUGUUGGACAAAUGCAUUUUAAUUGUUGUUUUAACCAUGAUUCAUUGCACUGCACUGCGCCAAGACAGAUCAACGGACGUGUACAAUACGUUCACACCAGGGACAACUGAAACGGCACUCACUGUACCAUGCCUCCACAACGCACAUAUGCACGUACGUUCGCCUGCCUGCCUAGGGCCGGGCCACGGGUGCUUAUUACACAACCAACCAGAUUGGAACUUAGUAAGUAGCUAAGUACUUGGAAUACACGGUGCACACACAAGAACACAUGCCAACAGCAGGAUUAUCAUGUCCUCCGUUCGCAGCCCCUUGCCCGGAUGCAAUCCCGCUCACACUUAUCGUUCUCCUCCGAUGGCGGGCCGUCACACUCACAGUUCUGGCAUGCGCAAACGAACUUACAAGUCUGACACGAUUCAUUGCACUGAAGCCAGCCCUGACGCAGCCUCUCGGCCAGCUCGUCCAGCGCCGCCGACGCAGGCUUCACGAGCCGCAGCAGGGCCGCGCCAUCCGCGACGUCGAGGGCCGGGCCGCGGCCAUGCACGGCCGUGAGCUGUGUUCCGGCGCACAGGAUCACCAGCAGGGAGAUGGCGGCCACCUUCACCGUAGAUGGAGCACAGGCCAUCGCAACAGCAGCUACUUUGUCUGGUGAAGACUCUGAAGAGUAGUAGUAAUAGGGAGAUGCGAUGUCAAGUGUGCUGCCCAGCUCGUCUCUGACUCUAUUUAUAUAUAGAGAGAGAGUUGGAGUUCUCGCAUUAUCUUGUUUUCUUCUGGUGUGGAGUUCCACAUUAUCUUCACGUACGUGCAUCACGUGGUGCAACUAGUAUAUGGACCAUUGAGACUUUGAGAGCCAGCGCCCAGUAGUCCUCCAUUAAAUGGGAUGCUGGCCAUCCACCUAACUGAAAUUAUCUUCUAUCAAAGGACGGUGCGUGCCCAACGGCCAAUGGCGACUCACAAAAAGAAGAAAGAAAUCCAUUCAUUCAUCUAAUGUAAAGAAAGGUGAAAUGAAAAUCUUACAUGUGUUCGAUAGCUCUGCAUGGCCGCUAACUCCUCAACUCUCCCUUCCAUCGCUAGCUUCAACUCUCGGUAAAAUAACCCCAAGCAACAAGUUGAUCUUCGUGAACUAAGCCCAACUCAGAUGGUUAGUUUUUUGUGUGAAACCAGCCCGCCGGGUUCAUGUCCUAGACUUAUCACCGUUGCUUGUAUUUUGCUGGAUUUAUUCCAGACUUUUUGGUGAUAUUCGUUCAGUAAGAAGACAUUUCCCCUAGACUAUGAAAACACGUGUGGUGACUUCGUUAAUCUCAAGAUGAUGUAUCGGCUUAGUCUCGGAGGUGUUCAUAGGAUAGGAUGGGUGUGUGCGUGUUCAUGGAAUGAGUAUAUGUUUGUAGAUUUUUUGCAUGGUAGUAUAUGAGGAGCUGAGCUAGCACUAGGGUUCACCCUCCUCCCCUUCCCCCGCCGCCGGACGCCGGCCUAGCCCCCCACCUGCGUCCCCUUCCGUCCCCUCCUUCCCCCGUCCAGAUCCUCCCUAACGCCGCCUCCUCGGAAGGUGGCCGCGGCGGAGCUCGAGCUCCUCUCCCGCGGGCUCCCUCCUCCCCGUCUCCCCCCCCCGCCCGCCGCCACCGCCGGUGGACGCCCCCCGCGCUGUCCCAGGUGGUGCCGGCGACGGCGGGCCUUCUUGUCCCCGCGCGCGUGCUCCCUUCCCGGGGCAGGGAGGCGGCGGCGGUGCAACCCGGUUUGGCUGCGGUCCGGCGGCCCUACGGCAGUGGUAGGCGUGGUGUCGGCGCCGCUCCUUGGUGGCGGGGCGGCAUUGUGGCGCUAGGUGGCCGGCGUCGCGCCCCCGACCCAGAUCUGGGCCCGGCGGGCCCCAUCUGGGUCCUAGCGGGUCAGCCCCCCGGUGUGCCCUCGUUGUCUGCUGCGCGGUGAGGAGGAGGAGCGGCUCGGAUGUGGGGCGGCGGUGCCGAGGGCGUGCCUGCAGCAGCGCGAGGGCGGGAGCUUUACAUGCCUAUGAGGGCUCAGCCGGGCCUAUGGGCCCACGAGCCUGGUGUGCUCCUGCUAUUGUGUUCGGACGGCUACCAUCGCUGACGGUGGAGGUUGAUCCCUCAUGUGUGCCGACGGUGCUGUUGCCCUAGUCCCGGCUACGAAUCAUCGCCGUGCUGUCCUCACUUCGCAUUGCCGUGGUGAGACGGUGUGGGGGGCUCAAGAUAGCGUUGGCGCAGGGUGGUGGUUGGUUUGGUGGCAGGCUCCGGUGCGCCCGAGGUGCGGCUUGAGAUCGGGGGAAACCCCUUUCGGCAUGGCCGACACUGGCGCUGUGGCGCCUAUAGGUGCCACCUGACCUUCUAGGAGGGCGUCGGGGGCUACCCUUCCUCUCGCCACGCCGUGUAACAGUGGAAACCCUUGGUAGCAGUGUCGUCAUCGCCGCGAUCCUUCUUGGAGGUGUUGAUUGGUGCUGGCGCUUUGGAGUCUUGGAGCCUAGUGAAGAUACCCGGUGGGCGCAGCGGUCGCGAGGCUUCUUCGUUUUUGUUGAUCCACCGUUGUCGGCAUUUGUUUCUUUUGCUCUUUCUCUAUCGUUUCUUUUAGGCAUGACUGUGUUGCUUCCGCCCCAGCACCUAUCCCUUGAUGGUUCGGUUGGUUGCUUUGUAAAACAAAGCGGGGGAAAACCUUUUUUGGAGUAUAUGUGUGCCUAUAUGAGCAUUUGUGCCACCUCCGCAAGCCGCUCCUCGUCACCGAGUAUGGCAAGUUCCUCUAGCAGGAGGGCAUCGAGAACACGACGGCGGCGCGCAGAGAAGGGACCACUUUCUCCACAUGGUGCUCGACACCAUCUACGAGUCAGCGUCGUGGGGCGGGCCACUCGUCGGCGGCGCCUUCUGGUAGCUGCUCGGUGAGUUAUUUCGUGGCCAGGGCGGAGGAGCUUGGUGGCUCGCUCAGGGCUGGCCGGCGUCGGGCAUUUGCGCCUGGUGGUUGUGGUCCUUGCCGGCGUGGAUCUCAGGUCGGGGCUGGGGCUCGCCGGCCUCACGGUUCCAGACACAGAGGAGGGCCUCCAGCUCCGGGCCGUCCGCAGUGCCCUGGGGUGGCAACUGUGCCGGCAGCGGCGAUGCUGGCGGCGUCGGCGGAGUCGGGCAGCCAAGCUCUAGGGUUUGGGCUUCCGAGCAGGCUGGUCUGGUGGGCCUCGGGGCCACUCAGGGAGAGAGGCCCAGGCCCACUUCUAGCUUGGGUCAGGCCCAGGUGGUUGUGACCAGUCAGGAACGGUCGCGCCUGGGGCAACCCUUGUCGCUUUGUAAGAAGCCCGGCCCGCCUAGCCCAGGCCCAGUGGCGUGGGUAUAUAAGUGGCUCUGGCUACACAAAGGGACCCUAGAUCCGUCUUUAGGGUUUCCGGCCACAAAAUCGGAGGUGCGUCGCCUCGGUCGCUCCGCUCGAUCUCUCCUCCCCACUCUCCCCCCGCCGCCCCUCGUGCAUUCCUUCACCGAGGUGGUUGCGAUGGCUUCCAAGGCCGACUGACGGGCGGACAAGCGUCCCCUCCCACCCCUCGACCGUGCGGCGGAGCGUAGCCGCGAGCGUGAGCUUCGGGCGCAUGCCAAGGCGAAAGGUGCAGAGCAUGACAGUGAGGCAGGAGGCUGGGGGGGCGCCAUCGCCGUGGUGGAUUAAAGAGCAGGAGCGCAAGAAGCGGAAGAAGGAAGAGUACAAAAAGAAGGGGCUCGAGCUCAAGCGCAAAGAGGAGAUGCCUCAGUUCUACGCCGAUCGGAUCGGUGACCCCUACGCCGUGAAGAAGAAGAAGAAGUACAAGCCGGUGGGGACGCCGGGCUCCAAGCCGCCGCCUUCACUGCUAGCGGGUCAGUCCUCCAAGGGCACGACAGCCGAGCCCAUUCCGGUGGAGGAGGCAGACGAUAGGGAGUGCUUCAAGUGCGGACGCGCAGGGCACUUCCAGAGCACCUGCAAGUUCAAGGCACUCUGCAUCCUUUGCUCCCAGAAGGGCCACAUUUCAGCCAAUUUCCCCUCCCGCGGCAAGCCCCUCCUGCUUCAGACCAUGGGGCACAGCAUCCCAGGAGAGGGGUUCUUCUGCCUGUAGUUCACUGAAGAUGAAGAUGAAGACCAGCAGUGCGUGAUCGGGGUCAACGCUGCCAUCCUCUCCGCGGCCCCGGGCUUGCUCUCGAAGGAGCUCCUGGAGGUGGAGCUGCCACAUCUGUUUGAGGGCGCGUGGGAUUGGCAGGUGGCCCAGAUCGACGUCGACAACUUCUCGGUGGUUUUCCCAGAUCCCUCCAUGCUGCGCAUGGCCACUCACAACGGCAAGCUGUUUCUCUCCAUUAACAACAUCACAGCGCUGAUCCGCGACGCAGUUAUCGAUGCGCCCAAAGGGGAAACCAUGCCAGAGGUGUGGGUUAAGCUGUGGGGAGUUCCUCCCAAGCACCACAGGGUGGAUAGGAUGAUGGCGGGGAUGUCGAUGUUGGGCAGACCGUUGGUGGUGGACGAGCUGUCCCUGAUCCGCUCUGGCCCGGUCUGGAUGCGUUUCGCCUGUCGCAAGCCAGCGAAGCUGCAGGGCAUGGUGCAGAUAUGGUUCAAUGGUGAGGGCUUCUCCAUCAAGCUUGAGCCGGAGCUCGAUGCACCCCAUCGGGGGGUUCCGGAGCUGCACUCGCCCCCUCCCAACAAUGUCAAAGGCCCGGACAACCUUCUUCUUGUAGACGUUGUUGGGCCUCCAAGUGCAGAGGUUUGUAGGACAGUAGCAAAUUUCCCUCAAGUGGAUGACCUAAGGUUUUGUCAAUCCGUGGGAGGCGUAGGAUGAAGAUGGUCUCUCUCAAACAACCCUGCAACCAAAUAACAAAGAUUCUCUUUUGUCCCCAACACACCCAAUACAAUGGUAAAUUGUAUAGGUGCACUAGUUCGGCGAAGAGAUGGUGAUACAAGUGCAAUAUGGAUGGUAGAUAUAGGUUUUUGUAAUCUUAAAUUAUUAAAACAGCAAGGUAACUAAUGAUAAAAGUGAGCAUAAACGGUAUUGCAAUGGUAGGAAACAAGGCCUAGGGUUCAUACUUUCACUAGUGCAAGUUCUCUCAAUAAUAAGAACAUAAUUGGAUCAUAUAACUAUCCCUCAACAUGCAACAAAGAGUCACUCCAAAGCCACUAAUAGCGGAGAACAAACGAAGAGAUUAUGGUAGGGUAUGAAACCACCUCAAAGUUAUCCUUUCUACUCGAUCUAUUCAAGAGUCUGUAGUAAAAUAACACGAAGCUAUUCUUUCCGUUCAAUCUAUCAUAGAGUUCAUACUAGAAUAACACCUUAAGACACAAAUCAACCAAAACCCUAAUGUCACCUAGAUACUCCAAUGUCACCUCAAGUAUCUGUGGGCAUGAUUAUACGAUAUGCAUCACACAAUCUCAGAUUCAUCUAUUCAACCAACACAAAGUACUUCAAAGAGUGCCCCAAAGUUUCUACUGGAGAGUCAAGACGAAAACGUGUGCCAACCCCUAUGCAUAGGUUCAUAGGCGGAACCGGCAAGUUGAUCACCAAAACAUACAUCAAGUGGAUCACGUGAUAUCCCAUUGUCACCACGGAUAAGCACGACAAGACAUACAUCAAGUGUUCUCAAAUCCUUAAAGACUCAAUCUGAUAAGAUAACUUCAAAUGGAAAACUCAAUUCAUCACAAGAGAGUAGAGGGGGAGAAACAUCAUAAGAUCCAACUAUAAUAGCAAAUCUCACGAUACAUCAAGAUCGUUCCAUAGAGAGAACACGAGAGAGAGAGAGAGAUCAAACACAUAGCUACUGGUACAUACCCUCAGCCCUGAGGCUGAACUACUCCCUCCUCGUCAUGGAGAGCACCGGGAUGAUGAAGAUGGCCACCGGUGAGGGAUCCCCCCUCCGGCAGGGUGCCGGAACGAGCUCCCGACAGGUUUUUGGUGGCUGCAGAGGCUUGCGGCGGCGGAGCUCCCGAUCUAUCUUGUUUUUCGAUGGUUUUAGGGUAUAUGGGAAUAUAUAGGCGAAAGAAGUCGAUCGGGGGAGCCACGAGGGGCCCACGAGAGUGGAGGGCGCGCCCAAGGGGGGUGGGCGCGCCCCCCUAUCUUGUUGACUCCUCAAAGCUUCCAGGGCGCGCCCCCCUAUCUUGUUGACUCCUCAAAGCUUCCCUGGCUUGCACUCCAAGUUCCGUGGAUUGCUUCUGUUCCAAAAAUAACUUUUCCAAAGGUUUCAUUCCGUUUGGACUCCAUUUGAUAUUCCUUUUCUUUGAAACACUGAAAUAGGCAAGAAAACAGCAAUACGGGCUGGGCCUCCGGUUAAUAGGUUAGUCCCAAAAAUAAUAUAAAUGUGUAAAGUAAAGCCCAUAAACAUCCAAAACGGAUAAUAUAAUAACAUGGAACAAUCAAAAAUUAUAGAUACGUUGGAGACGUAUCACCGACUCCCCGCCAGACGGUGAUGGCGCUCGCCUCCCCCUGGCAUAGCCCAUCGGAGACGUCCUGCUCCAGGAGGCCACCAAGGCGGCGCCGAUCCCGCAUGCCAAGCGAUCAAAGGCGGUGGCUGUGGCUCCGGUGCGCUCCAGCUCGCGCUCGAGGGGCGCCAAGCCGAACCUACCGGCGCUGCAGUAGGCUCAACUGAUCCAGGCCUAGAAGAACUUGGAGCUCUCAGAUAAUCCUACCCCUCGCUUUAUGGCUCUGAAUGCAUUCUUUGAUGAUCAUUGUAGUGAGGUGUUGGAGGAUAGUGGGGUGGCGCGUCGUGCUUAGGGGGUACGCAUGAGUUAUUAUCUCUACUACGUGCGAAAGAGCAGGCACAGACAGAGCUCGCAGCUGCUGUUGCAGCGCGCGCUGACCAGCUGGUGCAGGAGGGAGGGGCCUCUCAGGCACUCGCGGUCUGUCCUGAUGAAGUGGAGCUGGCAAUGAUGACCCACAAGUGUAGGGGAUCUAUCCUAGUCCUUUUGAUAAGUAAGAGUGUCGAACCCAAUGAGGAGCAGAAGGAAAUGAUAAGCAGUUUUCAGUAAGGUUUUCUCUGCAAGUACUGAAAUUGUAGGUGAUAGAUAGUUUUGUGAUAAGAUAAAUAGUAACGACCAAUAAGUAAAUAAAGUAAAUAAAGUGCAGCAAGGUGGCCCAAUCCUUUAUGUAGCAAAGGAUAAGCCUGGACAAUUCUAAUAAUGAGAAAGGAUCUCCCGAGGACACAUUGGGAAUUAUCGUCAAGCUAGUUUUCAUCAGUUUGUAAGAUUCGUGUUCGGUACUUUGAUAAUUUGAUAUGUGGGUGGACCGACACUUGGGUACUGCCCUAACUUGGACAAGCAUCCCACUUAUGAUUAACCCCUAUUGCAAGCAAUCACAACUACAAAAAGGAGUAUUAAGGUAAACCUAACCACAACAUUAAACAUAUGGGUCCAUAUCAACCACUAACGAAGCAACGCAUAAACUAGGGUUUAAGCUUCUGUCACUCUAGCAACCCAUCAUCUACUUAUUACUUCCCUAUGCCUUCCUCUAGGCCCAAAUAAUGGUGAAGUGUCAUGUAGUCGACAUUCACAUAACACCACUGGAGGAAAGACAACAUACAUCUCAUCAAAAUAUCGAACGAAUACCAAAUUCACAUGACUACUAAUAGCAAGACUUCACCCAUGUCCUCAGGAACAAACGUAACUACUCACAAAGCAUAUUCAUGUUCAUAAUCAGAGGAGUAAUAAUAUGCAUAAAGGAUCUGAACAUAUGAUCUUCCACCAAGUAAACAAAUUAGUAUCAACUACAAGGAGUAAUCACCACUACUAGCAACCCACAGGUACCAAUUUGUGGUUUUGAUACAAGAUUGGAUACAAGAGAUGAACUAGGGUUUCGAGAGGAGAUGGUGCUGGUGAAGAUGUUGAUGGAGAUUGACCCCCUCCCGAUGAGAGGAUCAUUGGUGAUGACGUUGGUGAUGAUUUCCCACUCCCGGAGGGAAGUGACCCCGGUAGAACAGCUCCACCAAAGCCCUAGAUGGAUUCCGCCAAGGUUCCGCCUCAUGGCGGCGGAGUUUUGUCCUGUAAGCUUGCCCAUGAUUUUUUCCAGGGUAAAAGUGAUGAUAUAGCCGAAGAUGGACACUAGAGGCCCACCAGGGGGCCCAGGAGAUAGGGGGCCGCGCCCUACAGGGGGGCGCCCCUGUCUCCUGGACAGGGUGUGGGCCCCCUGGCCUAUUUCUUUCACUCAUAAAUUCUUAAUAAAUCCAAAAGGUUGUUUCGUGGAGUUUCAGGACUUUUGGAGUUGUGCAGAAUAGGUUUCCAACGUUUGCUCCUUUUCCAGCCAGAAUUCCAGCUGCCGGCAUUCCCCCUCUUCAUGGUAAACCUUGUAAAAUAAGAGAGAAUAGCCAUAAGUAUUGAGAUAUAAUGUGUAAUGACAGCCCAUAAUGCAAUAAAUAUUGAUGUAAAAGCAUGAUGCAAAAUGGACGUAUCAACUCCCCUAAGCUUAGACCUCGCUUGUCCUCAAGCGGAAGCCGAAAUCGAAAAAUAUGUCCACAUGUUUAGAGAUAGAGGUGUCGAGAAAAAUAAAAUACGGACAUGAGGGCAUCAUGAUCAUUCUAAUAACAGUAACAUAUAUAGAUUUUGUCAUAUGAUUUCCUAUGCUCAAGUAAUAAGCAAUUCACAAUGUCAAGUAUGGUUCAUAAACUUCAUUGGGAACUAACAAACUAUAAUCUCAGUCAUUGAAGCAAUUGCAAUUUAUCGUAACAUCAGAAAGAGUCAAUAAUAGAGCUUUUCAACAAGCUCACAUACUCAACUAUCUUGUAGUCUCCCAUAAUUGCUAACACUCAUGCAAUACUUGUGGUUAUAGAGUUUCAGCCGGACAUUGAGAAAGAUAGGGGCUUAUUAUGUUGCCUCCCAAUGUAUUCACCUUUAGGUGAUGUCAACAAUAAUAGCCUAUGCCAACUUACAUCCAAUUGGAUAUAUGUAUCAUGAUCUUUCAAACACGAGGAGCUUGCCAAAGGAUAAAAUGCAAAAGGGAAAAUGUGAGGAUCACCUUGACUCAAGCAUAAAGUAAAAACAUAAAGUAAAAGAUAGGCCCUUCGCAGAGGGAAGCAGAGGUUGUCAUGCACGUUUAGGGUUGAUGCACGAAAUCUUAAUGCAAAAGAACGUCACUUUAUAUUGCCCCUUGUAUGUGGACUUUUAUUAUGCAAUCUGUCGCUUUUAUUACUUCCACAACAAGUUCGUACAAAGCUUAUUUUCUCUGCACUAAUAAGUCAUACAUAUUUAGAGAGCAAUUUUUAUUGCUUGCACCGAUGACAACUUACUUGAAGGAUCUUACUCAAUCCAUAGGUAGGUAUGGUGGACUCUCAUGGCAAAACUGGGUUUAAGGAUAUUUGGAAGCACAAGUAGUAUCUCUACUUGGUGCAAGGAAUUUGGCUAGCAAGAGGGGGAAAGGCAAGCUCAACAUGUUUGGAAGGUCAAUGACAAUAUAAUUUAACUGAGAUGUCGGAAAACAUAAACCAUUACGUUGUCUUCCUUGUCUAACAUCAACUCUUUUAGCAUGUCAUACUUAAUGAGUGCUUCACAACCAUAAAAGAUGUCCAAGAUAAUAUAUCUAUAUGUGAACCCCUCUUUCCUUAUCACUUCCUAUUAAUUGCAACGAUGACCAAGGCUACGUUCAUCAACUCUCAACAAUUUUUAUGCCUCAUACUUUCUAGGUGUGAAGUUAUCACUAUCCAUAAGAUCAAUAUGAACUCUUUUGUUCUUUCUACUUCCUCAAGAUCAUAGCAACAUAGCAAAGCCCUUGACUCAACACUAAUGUUUAUUAUAGAUAGCACACGAACUCGCUUACAUAAAGAGAUCACAAUGCAAAACUCAAAACUACUUGAUAUCAAAACUUCAAUAUACUAGAUCAAGAUACUACUAAAAGGAUCGAACUAAAUAAAGCGGUGAAUAUAGGAGUGCGAUGGUGAUACGAUACCGGGGCACCUCCCCCAAGCUUGGCAGUUGCCAAGGGGAGUGCCCAUACCCAAGUGAUUAUUUCUUCGGAGGUGGUGAAGUGGGAAUUGUUGAUGAUGUAGGCUUGUCGUCCGUCUUCCAAGGCAUAGGCUCUCCAUCAUAAAUGGACGAUCGAGUCUUCGGGAUCCUUAAAUCUGCAGCCAAACUCAUUCGCUUGAAUCUAUAUUCAUACUCACAGUUCUGGUUUUGCAGGUCAUAAAUCUGGGCUUGGAGGUGCUUGAUUUUCUUUUGAAGCUUGAAGAUGGUCUCCCCAAUGACUUUGGCAUCCAUCUUGUGGUUGUUGGUGAACUCCGUGAUCAUCAUCUGAUUGGCGUUGAGUCCACACUCCACCAUCCCUUAACACUUGAAAACUUCUUGCUCCAUGGCUUCGAGCUUUGUCUCCAUGCUCCCGAUGAGCCUUGGUCCCUCCACAUCGCGGAUGUGCAGGACCCCCUCACGCAUCUCAAUGGUUUGAGGGUGAUGAAGCACCUCCGCGAGAUAGGGGUUGAUAACCCUCUCGAAAAACUUGUCCUUGGGAGCGCUUGGAGACGACAUGAUGCUCUAGAUCUGAAACAGAAACAGCUCGAAAUGAAAACAGAAGAUAUUUGCGUGAUACGGUGGUCAAAACCUUCGGGAGUAUAUAUAAUGAUUUUUUACCGACCAAAAUAUGUAACAUACAAGAAAACAGAGUCCGGGAGGCACACGAGGUGCCCACGAGACAGGGGGCGCUCCCUACAGGCGGGGGGCGCAGCCUCCUCUCUCGUGGGAGCCUUGUGUCCCUUUCGGACUACUUCUUUCUUCCUAAAAUUCUUAAAUAAUCCAAAACUUAUAAAAAUUGCCAUUAGAGUUGUUUUGGAGUCGGUUUACUUACCGUACCACGUACCUAUGCCUUUUCGGAGUCUGGAACAUUCUGGAAAGUGUCUCUUAUGUAUUGCUCAUGGGUUAUGGUUUCAAUAAUAUUAGUUUCAACAUUGAUAGGAUUACCUGAAAUAUAAUGUUUAAUUCUUUGACCAUUUACCACCCUCAGAUUUGUGCCUUCGAAGUUGUUGAUUUUUAUAGCACCAGAACAAUAGACCUCCUCGAUAACGUAGGGACCUUCCCAUUUUAAGAGAAGUUUUCCUGCAAAAAAUCUUAAACGAGAGUUGAAUAUUAACACAUAAUCUCCUACGUUAAACUCACGCUUUUGUAUCCUCUUAUCAUGCCAGCGUUUGACUUUUUCUUUGAAAAGCUUGACAUUCUCAUAUGCUUGGGUUCUCCAUUCAUCAAGUGAGCUAAUAUCAAACAACCUCUUCUCACCGGCAAGUUUGAAGUCAUAAUUGAGCUGUUUAAUAGCCCAAUAUGCUUUAUGUUCAAGUUCAAGAGGUAAAUGACAUGCUUUUCCAUAAACCAUCUUAUAUGGAGACAUACCCAUACGAUUUUUGUAUGCAGUUCUAUAGGCCCAUAAUGCAUCAUCAAGUUUUUUGGACCAAUUCUUUCUAGAUCUAUUCACAAUAUUUUGCAAAAUUAAUUUGAGCUCUCUAUUGCUCAACUCUACUUGACCACUAGACUGCGGGUGAUAAGGAGAUGCGAUGCUAUGAUUGACAUCAUACUUAGCAAGCACCUUAUGGAAAGCACCAUGAAUAAAGUGUGAACCACCAUCAGUCAUAAGAUAUCUAGGGACUCCAAACCUCAGAAAAACAACUUCUUUAAGCAUUUUAAUAGAAGUGUUAUGAUCAGCACUACUAGUUGGAAUAGCUUCUACCCACUUAGUAACGUAAUCAACAACAACUAAAAUAUGUGUAUAACCAUUGGAGGCAGGAAAAGGUCCCAUAUAAUCAAAGCCCCAAACAUCAAAUGGUUCAAUAACAAGAGAAUAAUUCAUAGGCAUUUCUUGACGUCUACUAAUGUUACCUAUUCUUUGACAUUCAUCACAAGAUAAGACAAACUUACGAGCAUCUUUGAAGAGAGUAGGCCAAUAAAACCAGAUUGUAGUACCUUGUGUGCAGUUCUAUCUCCAGCGUGGUGUCCUCCAUAAGAUUCAGAGUGACAGUUGCGUAGGAUUUGUUCCUGUUCAUGCUCAGGCACACAACAUCUAAUAAUACCAUCUACUCCUUGUUUAUAAAGGUGUGGAUCAUCCCGGAAGUAAUGUCUUAAAUCAUAAAAGAACUUUUUCUUUUGCUGGUAUGUGAAACUAGGCGGUAUAUAUUUAGCAACAAUGUAAUUAGCAUAAUCAGCAUACCAAGGAGCAGUACGAGAAGCAUUGACAACCGCUAAUUGUUCAUCAGGAAAACUAUCAUUAAUAGGCAGUGGGUCAUCAAGAAAAUUCUCUAACCUAGACAAGUUGUCUGCAACGGGGUUCUCAGCUCCCUUUCUAUCAAUAAUAUGCAAGUCAAAUUCUCGGAGCAAGAGAACCCAUCUAAUGAGUCUAGGCUUAGCAUCUUUCUUUUCCAUAAGAUAUUUAAUAGCAGCAUGAUCAGUGUGAAUAGUAACUUUGGAAUCAACAAUAUAAGGUCUAAACUUAUCACAUGCAAACACAACUGCUAAGAACUCUUUUUCAGUAGUAGCAUAAUUUCUCUGGGCAGUAUCAAGAGUCUUACUAGCAUAUUGGAUAACAUUCAAUUUCUUAUGAACUCUUUUCCCUAAAAUAGCACCUACAUCAUAAUCACUAGCAUCGCACAUAAUUUCAAAAGGUAAAUUCCAAUCAGGUGGCUGGACAAUAGGUGCAGUGAUCAAGGCUUUCUGAAGUGUUUCAAAUGCUUCUACACAAUCAUCAUCAAAGACAAAAGGAAUAUCUUUUUGCAAUAAAUUAGUAAGAGGCCUAGAGAUUUUAGAAAAGUCCUUAAUGAACCUCCUAUAAAAGCCGGCAUGAGCAAGGAAACUUCUUAUACCUUUUAUGUCCUUGGGACAUGGCAUCUUUUCAAUAGCAUCAACUUUGGAUUUAUCAACUUCAAUACCUCUCUCCGGAGAUCUUGUGCCCCAAGACAAUGCCUUCAUUAACCAUAAAGUGACACUUUUCCCAAUUCAGGACGAGACUAGUGUCUUCGCAUCUCUGCAAAACUCGAUCAAGGUUGCUCAAACAAUCAUCAAAAGAGGAUCCAUAGACGGAGAAGUCAUCCAUGAAUACCUCACAAAUCUUUUCACAAAAAUCAUAAAAUAUAUCCAUCAUGCAUCUUUGAAAGGUAGCAGGUGCAUUACAUAAACCAAAAGGCAUACGUCUAUAAGCAAAAGUACCAAAAGGGCAAGUAAAAGUAGUUUCAGAUUGAUCCUUCGCGGGCACAUGUAUUUGAGAGAAGCCAGAAUAACCAUCUAGAAAGCAAAAAUAUGUUUGUUUGGAUAGCCUUUCUAGCAUUUGAUCAAUAAAAGGUAAAGGGUAAUGAUCUUUCUUAGUAGCUUUAUUUAACAUACGGAAAUCAAUUACCAUCCUAUAGCCUGUAAUAAUUCUUUGCAGGAUCAAUUCAUCUUUAUCAUUAGGAACAACGAUAAUACCUCCCUUUUUAGGGACACAAUGGACAGGGCUUACCCAUUCACUAUCAGCAACGGGAUAAAUAAUACCUGCCUCAAGGAGUUUUAGAAUCUCCUUUCUUACCACUUCCUUCAUUUUGGGGUUUAAUCGUCUUUGAGGAUCUCUAACUGGUUUGGCAUCUUUCUCCACUGAAAUUUUGUGUUGACAUAAUGUGGGACUAAUGCCCUUAAGAUCGUCCAGAGUAUAUCCAAUAGCAGCUCGGUGCUUCUUCAGAGUUUUCAAUAAUCUUUCUUCUUCUUUCUCUGAAAGGUUAGCACUAAUAAUAACAUGAUAUAUUUCUUUUUCAUCAAGAUAAGCAUACUUGAGAUUAUCAGGUAAGGGUUUGAGUUCGAACACUGGAUCACCCUUGGGUGGAGGGGGAUCCCCAUGAGUUUCAACGGGAAGGUUAUGUUUUAGCAUAGGUUCUUGUUUAAGGAACACUUCAUCUAUUUCUUCCCUUUCCUUCAUAAACAUAUCGUUUUCAUGGUCUAAAAAAUAUUGUUCUAACGGUUCAGUUGGAGGAACAACAAUGGAAGCAAGACCAAUAAUUUCAUCCUUACUAGGUGGUUCCCUUUCACGAGGUUGUCUACUAAACUUAGCGAAAUUAAACUCAUGAGACAUACCAUCUAUGCCAACAGUGACAAUAUUCUUUUCACAAUUAAUCUUAGCACUAGCAGUAUUCAAGAAGGGUCUACCAAAAAUAAUGGGACAAAAAUCAUCUUGUGGGGAACCAAGAACAAGAAAAUUAGCAGGGUAUUUAAUCUUCCCACACAAGACUUCAACAUCUCUAACAAUCCCAAUAGGUUUAAUGGUGUCCUCAUUAGCAAGCUUAAUAGUAACAUCAAUGUCUUCUAAUUCAACAGGUGCAAUAUCGUUCAUAAUUUCUUUAUAAAGAUCAUAAGGUAUCACAUUAGCACUAGCACCCAUAUCACAUAAGCCAUGAUAACAAUGAUCUCCUAUUUUAACAGAAAUAACAGGCAUGCCUACAACAGGUCUACGUGUCUUAUUAUCGGGUCUAGCAAUAUUAGCAGUUUCACCCAAGAAAGAGAUAACAUGCCCAUCUAAGUCCUCAUCCAAGAGAUCUUUAAUCAUAGCAAUACCACGUUCAACAUUAAUUUUCUCAGGAGGUGUAUAGGUCCUAGUAUUACUCUUACGAACAACAGUAGAAGCUUUAACAUGAUCUUUUAUCCUAACAGGAAAAGGAGGUUUUUCAACAUAAGCAGUAGGAAUAAUAGGAUCACUAUAUGUAAUAGUCUUUUCUUCGACUGUAAUAGGUGCAACUACUUUCACUUCAGCAGGGGGAUUAUAUUUAAACCACUUCUCUUUAGGGAGAUCAACGUGGGUAGCAAAAGUUUCACAAAAGGUAGAUACUAUCUCAGAGUCAAGUCCAUACUUAGAGCUAAAUCCACGAAAAGCAUCGGUAUCCAUAAAAGAUUUAACACAAUCGAACUUAGGUGUCAUACCUGACUCCUUACCAUCGUAGGAACCCCAAUCUUCAGAGUUGCGUUUAAUUCUUUCCAAUAAGUCCCAUUUGAAAUCAAUAGUCUUCAGCAUAUAGGAACCAUCAUAGGAAGUAUCGAGCAUGUUGCGAUUAUCAAGAGAAAGCCGAGCAUAAAAAUUCUGAAUAAUCAUUUCCCGAGAGAGCUCAUGAUUGGGGCAUGAAUAUAACAUUGACUUAAGCCUCCCCAAGCUUGAGCGAUGCUUUCUCCUUCGCGAGGCCAGAAAUUAUAUAUGUAAUUACGAUCACGAUGAACAAGAUGCAUAGGAUAGAACUUCUGGUGAAAUUCCAACUUCAGUCGCUUAUAAUUCCAAAAUCUCGUAUCAUCACAUAGCCUAUACCAUGUCAUUGCAUCUCCCUUCAAAGAUAAAGGGAAGACCUUCCUUUUGACAACAUCAUCGGGGAUACCUGCAAGCUUAAAUAAUCCACAAACUUCAUCCACAAAGAUAAGGAGUAAGUCAGGAUGCAAUGUUCCGUCUCCUGCAAAAGGAUUAGCUAGCAGUUUUUCUAUCAUACCCGAAGGAAUCUCAAAGUGAAUAUUUUCAUAAGGUUCAGUAGGUUGAGGAGCAUCUCUUUGCUCUUCUGGUUGGGGUGAAGAUACCCCAAACAAGCCCCUCAAAGGAUUAGUUUCCAUAGUGACAAGUAACAGAAAAUUUCAGCACACUAUAUAAAUGUUUCCUUACCAAGUUCCACUCACCAAAAGCGCCAGAAAAGAGUUUUGAUGACCCACAAGUGUAGGGCAUAUAUCAUAGUCCUUUUGAUAAGUAAGAGUGUCGAACCCAACGAGGAGCAGAAGGAAAUGAUAAGCGGUUUUCAGUAAGGUUUUCUAUGCAAGCACUGAAAUUGUAGGUGAUAGAUAGUUUUGUGAUAAGAUAAAUAGUAACGAGCAACAAGUAAGUAAAGUAAAUAAAGUGCAGCAAGGUGGCCCAAUCCUUUAUGUAGCAAAGGAUAAGCCUGGAUAAUUCUAAUAAUGAGAAAGGAGCUCCCGAGGACACAUUGGGAAUUAUCGUCAAGCUAGUUUUCAUCACGUUCGUAAGAUUCACGUUCGGUACUUUGAUAAUUUGAUAUGUGGGGUGGACCGACACUUGGGUACUGCCCUAACUUGGACAAGCAUCCCACUUAUGAUUAACCCCUAUUGCAAGCAUCCGCAACUACAAAAAGGAGUAUUAAGGUAAACCUAACCAGAACAUUAAACAUAUGGGCCCAUAUCAACCCCUAACGAAGCAACACAUAAACUAGGGUUUAAGCUUCUGUCACUCUAGCAACCCAUCAUCUACUUAUUACUUCCCUAUGCCUUCCUCUAGGCCCAAAUAAAGGUGAAGUGUCAUGUAGUCGAUGUUCACAUAACACCACUAGAGGAAAGACAACAUACAUCUCAUCAAAAUAUCGAACGAAUACCAAAUUCACAUGACUACUAAUAGCAAGACUUCACCCAUGUCCUCAGGAACAAACGUAACUACUCACAAAGCAUAUUCAUUUUCAUAAUCAGAGGAGUAAUAAUAUGCAUAAAGGAUCUGAACAUAUGAUCUUCCACCAAGUAAACCAAUUAGUAUCAACUACAAGGAGUAAUCAACACUACUAGCAACCCACAAGUACCAAUUUAUGGUUUUGAUACAAGAUUGGAUACAAGAGAUGAACUAGGGUUUUGAGAGGAGAUGGUGCUGGUGAAGAUGUUGAUGGAGAUUGACCCCCUCCUGAUGAGAGGAUCGUUGGUGAUGACGUUGGUGAUGAUUUCCCCCUCCCGGAGGGAAGUGUCCCCGGCAGAAUAGCUCCGCAGAGCCCUAGAUUGAUUCCGCCAAGGUUCCGCCUUGUGGUGGCGGAGUUUCAUCCCGUAAACUUGCCCACGAUUUUUUCGAGGGUAAAAGUGAUGAUAUAGCUGAAGAUGGACGCCGGAGGCCCACCAGGGGGCCUAGGAGAUAGGGGGCCGCGCCCUACAAGGGGGGCGCGCCCCCUUUCUCCUGGAUAGGGUGUGGGCCCCCUGGCCUAUUUCUUUCUCUCAUAAAUUCUUAAUAAAUCCAAAAGGUUGUUUCGUGGAGUUUCAGGACUUUUGAAGUUGUGCAGAAUAUGUUUCCAUCGUUUGCUCCUUUUCCAUCCAGAAUUCCAGCUGCCGGCAUUCCCCCUCUUCAUGGUAAACCUUGUAAAAUAAGAGAAAAUAGCCAUAAGUAUUGAGAUAUAAUGUGUAAUGACAGCCCAUAAUGCAAUAAAUAUUGAUAUAAAAGCAUGAUGCAAAAUGGACGUAUCAGGCAACAGGUGUUGGCCCCCCUCCCUCACCUUGCAGAGCCAAGGUGAGGCGUGUGGCCAAGGCAGUGUCCUCGAGGGGCAUUCAUCUUCGCAACCGUAUCAUUUAGAUGCACACAAUCUUUUGGAACAUUCGUGGCUUCGGCCACGUGGGUCGCCGAUCCCAGCUGAAGGAUUAUAUGCAGAAGGAACAUAUAGAUAUCGUUGGCUUGCAGGAGACCAUUAAGUUAGAUUUCCGUCCUCAUGAGCUGCUCGCCAUCGACCCCCUGGAGAGGUUCACUUGGAACCACCUAGCUGCGUCUGAGCACUCAGGGGCAUGCUGCUAGGCUUUGGCCAAGCAGUUUACGAGGUGCUAAAAUGGGAUGCAGGUACCUUUUUUUAGCUGGGCACAUUCGCCACCGUCAGUCUCAGAGGGGGCUAGUGGUGAUUCAGGUCUACGGACCGGCAGAUCACUCAAGAUCGGCCAAUUUUUUGGGAGAAUUGCAAACCAAGGUGCUAUCGGUGAGCUCUUCGCUUAUCCGUCUAGUGGUUGGGGGAUUUUAAUCUGAUCCGCUCGGGAGCAGAUAAAUACAACUGCAAUAUUAAUUGGCCAAGGUGGCCAUGUUUAAUAACGCCAUUUCCACCAUGGAUCUUUAGGAGGUGGCUAGGUCAGGGGCUCAUUACACGUGGACGAACAAACAGUUGGCCCCGGUGCUAUCCGUGCUUGAUAGGGUGUUCAUCUCGCCCGACUGAGAAAUUGUGUACCCUCUAUGCUCGCUCAUUGCUGAGACCAGGAUAGGGUCAGACCACGUCCCGCUUAUUCUUACCUCAGGGGAGGACAGGAUUCGUCGAAGCCCUCAGUUCUUUUUCGAGACAGCUUGGUUCGAAAAUCCCGACUUUGAUUCCAUUUUCAGGGCGAAAUGGAAGCAAUGUGUUAGCCAGGCGGGUACCCGACGGGAUCCGAUGGAUUUUUGGAUCGCGGUAGGGGGCUGCCUACGGGCUAUGCUUAAGGGCUGGGGGGCAAUUUGGGCCGUCAGGAAAAGAUGCUCAGGGGGAGUAUCCUAGCUGAGAUAGCGAACCUUGAUAAACAGGCUGACGAGCGGCCUUUUUCUGAACAAGAAUGGGCCCAACAUUACACGCUGGAGGAUCAGGUUCGGUCCUUGCUUCGCGUGGAAGAGUAGUACUGGCGGCGUCAUGGUGGCCUCAAGUGGGUGCUUAAAGGUGAUGCUAACACGAAAUACUUCCAUGCCUACGCUAAUGGGAGACGGCGUAGAUGUGUGAUUCUCCGGAUGUAGUCGGAACAGGGGUUACUGCUAGAUUAGGCAGAUAUAGUGCGUCAUGUCUACGACGUCUAUAUCUAGCUGAUGGGGACGAGUGAGGAGCAGCGAGCAGGGGUGCACGCUGACCUAUGGGACCCGCCCCAGCUUGUUACCGAUCAGGAAAAUGAGGAGCUGGGGCUCGCCUUUUUACCUGAGGAGAUUGAUGCUGCUCUGAAGAGCAUGAAAACCGAUACCGUGCCAGGCCCAAAUGGAUGGCCUGUGGCCAUGUUCAAACACUUCUGGUCGAUCCUGCAGGGACCUAUGUUCGAGGUGUGCAGUGGCUUCAUGUGUGGGAUGGUAGACAUCACUCGGCUCAACUUUGGUGUCCUUUCGCUUAUCCCUAAGGUGGCAGGCGUUGAUAACAUCUGACAAUUUAGGCCUAUCGUGUUAAUUAACGUACCUUUUUAAGAUUUUUUCCAUAGCGACCACCUCGCGCCUUGUCCCGAUAGUGCACCAUAUCAUUAGCCGCACCCAAACCGCUUUCAACCGCGGUUGAAACAUCCUUGAGGGUACUCUUGCCCUGCAAGAGAUCAUCCACGAACUCAAACGCACUAAGGAACCAGCCAUUCUUCUUAAAUUAGACUUCAAAAAAGCGUACGAUCGCAUGAACUGGAACUUUUUGCGCUAGGUCCUGCUGAGCCGGGGUUUCUCGGCCAUGUGGGUCCACCGAGUGAUGCAGCUAGUCUCGGGUGGCCGGGCUUCUAUUUCGGUCAACGGGAAGUUGGGAACUUCUUCCAGAAUAGACGGGGACUGUGUCAGGGCAACCCGAUGUCUCCGCUCUUGUUUAACUUUGUGGUUGAUGCUCUCGCAGAUAUGCUACGGAGAGGGACCACGGCUGGACACAUCAACGGAGUGGUCAUCCAUCUUAUUCCAGGGGGAUUUCGCACUUGCAGUACACAGAAGACACCCUGCUACUGUUCCAACCGGAUACUCACAAUAUUGUGAUAGUUAAAGCGCUACUGUUGAGCUUUGAAUUGAUGUCCGGACUCAAAAUCAAUUUUCACAAGUGUGAAAUGCUAUCUAUGGGGGAUAGAUAGUGAGGAGGGGCGACGCAUCGUGGACCUCCUCAACUAUAAAGUGGGAAAUUUCCCCUUUAUGUACCUAGGCCUGCCCCUAGCUCAUCGUAGGGUGAUAAUCGACGAUUGGGCACCCCUAAGUGGAAAAGUGGGAAGAAAAGUGAGCCCCUGGCAUGGCAAGUUCAACUCCUCCGCGGCACGACUUGUCCUGACCAACUCUAGCCUCUCCUCGCUUCCCAUGUUCGCCAUGGGUCUUUUCCUAUUGGCGGAAGGGGUCCACGCUAAAAUGGACACGCCGCAAGCUCGUUUCUUUUGGGAAGGAACGGGUCUCAAACGCAAAUACCAUAUAGUCAAAUGGGUUGUGGUGUGUUGGCCCAAGUCCUUGGUGUUGGGGAAUGCGAUAAUUUCAAAAAAAAUCCCUACAAUCACGCAAGAUCUAUCUAGGCGAUGCAUAGCAAUGAGAGGGGAGAGUGUGUCCAUGUACCCUCGUAGACCAAAAGCGGAAGCGUUUAGUUAACACGGUUGAUGUAGUCGAACGUCUUCGCGAUCCAACCGAUCCAAGCACCGAACGUACGGCACCUCCGCGUUUAGCACACGUUCAGCUCGAUGACAUCCCUCGUACUCUUGAUCCAGUUGAGGCCGAGGGAGAGUUUCAUUAGCACAACGGCGUGGUGAUGGUGAUGAUGAAGUUACCGGCGCAGGGUUUCGCCUAAGCACUAUGACGAUAUGACCGAGGUGUGUAACUAUGGAGGGGGGCACUGCACACGGCUAAAAGAUCAACUUGUGUGUUCUAGGGUGCCCCCCGUCCCCCAUAUAUAAAGGAGCAAGGGGAGGCCGGCCGGCCCUCCUAGGGCGCGCCCCCAAGAGUGGAAUCCUACUAGGACUCCAAGUCCUAGUAGGUUUCCACCAAGAGGGAGAGAGAGGGAAGGAAGGAGAUGGAGAGGGAGAAGGAAAGAGGGGCGACGCCCCUCCUCCCUAGUCCAAUUCGGACCCCAAAGGGGAGGGAGCGUGUGGCCUGCCUUGGCCACCACUCUCUCUCUCAACUAAGGCCCAUGUGGCCCAUUAGUUCCCCCGGGGGGUUCCGGCAACCGUCCGACACUCCAGUUUUAUCCGAAACUUCUCCGGAACACUUCCGGUGUCCGAAUAUAGCCGUCCAAUAUAUCAAUCUUUAUGUCUCAACCAUUUCAAGACUCCUCGUCAUGUGUGUGAUCUCAUCCGGGACUCCGAACAAACUUCUUUCAUCAAAACACAUAACUAUUAAUACAAAUCAUCAUCGAACGUUAAGCGUGCGAACCCUAUGGGUUCGAGAACUAUGUAGACAUGACCGAGACACAUCUCCGGUCAAUAACCAAUAGCAGAACCUGGAUGCUCAUAUUGGCUCCUAUAUAUUCUACGAAGAUCUUUAUCGAUCAAACCUCAUAAUAACAUACGUUGUUCCCUUUGUCAUCAGCAUGUUACUUGCCCAAGAAUCGAUCGUCGGUAUCAUCAUACCUAGUUCAAUCUCGUUACCGGUAAAUCUCUUUACUCGUUUCGUAAUACUUCAUCCCGCAACUAACUCAUUAGUCACAAUUCUUGCAAGGCUUAUAGUGAUGAGUAUUACCGAGAGGGCCCAGAGAUACGUCUCCGAAACACGGAGUGACAAAUCCUAAUCUCGAUCUAUGCCAACCCAACAAACACCUUCAGAGACACCUGUAGAGCACCUUUAUAAUUACCCAUUUACAAUGUGACGUUCGGUAGCACACAAAAUGUUCCUCUAGUAUUCGAGAGUUGCAUAAUCUCAUAGUCUGAGGAACAUGUAUAAGUCAUGAAGAAAGCAGUAGCAAUGGAAUUGUAACGAUCAUAAUCCUAAGCUAACGGAUGGGUCAUGUUCAUUACAUCAUUCUCCUAAUGAUGUGAUCUCGUUCAUCAAAUGACAACACAUGUCUAUGGUUAGGAAACACAACCAUCUUCGAUAAACGAGCUAGUCAAGUAGAGGCAUAUUAGGGACAAUAUGUUUUGUCUAUGUAUUCACACAUGUACUAAGUUUCUGGUUAAUACAAUUCUAGCAUGAAUAAUAAACAUUUAGCAUGAAAUAAGGAAAUAAAUAAUAACUUUAUUAUUGCCUCUAGGGCAUAUUUCCUUCAGUCUCCCACUUGCACUAGAGUCAAUAAUCUAGAUUACAUAGUAAUGAUUCUAACACCCAUGGAGCUUUGGUGCUGAUCUUGUUUUGCUCGUGGAAGAGGCUUAGUCAAAGCACUACAAAAAAAUACACUUCCGUGAUGAUACGUGUUUGUCAUAGUAGGUCGCGUUUUUUGUCAUGCAUGUACAUCCAUGACAAAUUUAUGACAGAAUCAAGAUAGUCAUACCUGUGUUGUCGUAGAAGUGUUCCAUGACAUUACCAAAAUUAUCAUCACGGAAGUGUCCACUUCCAUGAUGAUAAAUCGCGCGUCACAGAAGUUCUUUCAUCAAGGGUGACCAACACGUGGCAUCCACCGUAACGGAACGCUGUUAAGCUAUCGGGUCGGGUUUUGGAUCCGAUAACCCGUUAACAGCCCCGACCAAUGGGGAUUGUCCACGUGUAAAAUCAUCAUUGGCUGGCGGAAACACAUGUCGGCUCACCGUUGGGACAGAUGUCAUCCACUCAUUGGACAGAAGGCGCCUAUGAUACGUCGACACGUGGCACAGCCCAACAGAGGCCCAUUCCUGUGAAAAGGCCGGCUCGUUUGACUUGGUCAAAAGGUGGCGGGCCGGCCCAUGGAAAGCCUGUUAACGGCCUGUUCGCAUAUAGCCCAUUUGCAGCCCGCUAACCCAAGGCCCGUUACGCUCUAUCCGAAUUAGGCCCAGUAGCAUCAUCUGGGCCAUCCAAUAUGAUUCCAGCCCGUUUUCACUUCUGGCCCAUGUAUGGCCCAUGACGUCUUUUGGCCCAUAUGGGGCCCUAUGUAACUCUUGGCCUAUUAACGGCCCAUGGUGAAACUGGCCCGCAAUGAAUAGUGUAUCACUUUACACCCAUUAACGACCCGUGGUGAAACUGGCCCGUAAUGAACAGUAUGUCACUUUAUACCCAUUAAGGGCCCGUUAUUCAGUUGGGCCGUUUCUAGCAAAUGUUAUCUUUCGUCCUUCUCAGAGCCCAUUUAUUCUUGGGCUCAUUUCCAGCAUUCGUUUACUUACGGCCCGUUACUGUCAUUUUCUGCUUAUGGGCCAAAUUCAGCCCGUGGUUACAUCGGCCCGUUUGUGGUUCAUUAAUACGUUGGGCCGUUUUCAUAGCGUCAUCAAAUACGGCCUAUUAACAAUGGCCCGUUAUGGUCAUACGGCCCGUAUAAGACCCAUUCAUGAUACGGCCCGUAGAAGGCCCAUUGUUUCUACGGCCGUAGAAGGCCCAUUGUUUCUACGGCCCGUAGAAGGCCUACUGUUUCUACGGCCCGUAGAAUGCCCACUGUUUCUACGGCCCGUAGGAGGCCCAGUGUCACUACAGUAAAUAUUAGCCCAUGGUUAUUGUGGCCUAGUUUUAAAAAGAACUGCACUGACUACAAGCAAACAAAUAAACAAGACAACAAGUAAAUAAAUAAGCAAGAAACUUAUGCUAGGCUAUCACGGCUGUUACACAUAUUACAUCCACUGGGCAUCAAAGUUCGCCACCAGUGCAAAUAUAGGGAACAAAGCAGCAUAUCAUAUACACUGGUUGCCAAAGUUGGCGACCAGCACAAAUAAACGCCGCAACAAAACAAAUCCAGAACUGAAACCACUUCAGAAGAUCUCAAGAAACAAUAUCCUGGGUACCCAUAAUGCUAGCAAGAUGCUUAGCAAGCUUAUUAACUUUCUCUUGUUUGGCGCUUAAAUCCUCCAGCGCUUGCUGUUGCACCAGAAAAUAUGCAUCUGAAUUCUGCAGGGACUUCCUCAGUCCUUCAGCUUCCUGUCGCAGCACAUCUGAUCGAUGUCUUUCAACUUGAAGUUGAGAUUCAAGAAGACAAACUGAUUCAGAUAGCGAGUUCGAAGAGCUUGUGCCAGCAGUAGUGGCCAGUAACUCGAACACUACAUCAAGACAAGACUUUAGGGUUCCCUUACUGUCAUCAAGAUAGUUUUUAUCAGCUUUCUUGGAGACCAACAGGGAUGUCUCACUAUCUUGAACCUUAUCUGCAUUACUUCCUUUACCAUUGGAUAACGCGGUACUGUUCUCCAAUAUUUUGUCCGCAUUCUAAAAGAGAAACAAGCAGACACAUCACAUGUUUACCAUGUUGUAUAUGAAACUCAUUUUGGUAAAUGAGUUCAGUAGUAAAGUGGACAGGAUAACAACAUGAAACAAACAUAUAUCUAUGUACCAUGGUUACUUUAUGGUCUAUAUCAUUCUAGUUUUUGUUGCCAAAUCAAGAUAGAGACACAGUUCAAAUAUUAUUUGUUCAAGACAAAGCAGAAUAGACAGAAUAUAAGUGUGGGUAACUAUAGAGCAAUAACAACACUUGUAAUGUGCAUGACAUGAGAACUUAACUUUUUAUUCAAUUGAAACUGAAAUCAACAUAGAGCAGGUUACAACAGCAAACCAGUUAAAGAAACAGGUUUAAAACAUACCUGUUGCGCCAUUGGAGUUUCAAUUCCAUCCUUCAAAUUUGAAAAUAGUUAGUAUGAGUAAAUACAGUAAUGCAAGAGCAAAGGAGUAUGAACCAUAGAUACAGAACCUGACCUGAGAACAAAUCUUCUUCUCCUUUAAGCGUUGAGUUGGGAUUCGGAGUAGUGGUCCUCGUGCUUUGGGCACUGCAGUUCCCUUACUAACCGCUCGUGUUUGGGUGCUUUGUGGUGGAGACGGUGCUGUGUCAACUGGAACUGGGUUAUUAUCUGUCGGGGUUGGGGUUAGAAGGGGUGUAGUUGGUUCUCUGUCCAACUGGGUAGGGGUACAAUCUGCGAGAGUCUGGGUUAUGUGUGGUGGAUCUGGUCCUUGGGCAAGUACAACCGUGGUUCUAUCUGCAUCAGCUGGUAGCACUAUCUUUUCUGAAGACCAUGUUGUUACUCCCUUAGAUACUGCCAUCACGCUCUCCAAUUCAAAUGGCCGAUAAACAAGAAAAGUAAUUGAAAGUAUAGACAUUGUAUGAUAGACAGGUGCAAUGGAUAGUGGGGAAUAAAAGAGGGCAGGAAAUAAUUCAUAUUUAUGUUGUCUAACCAAACAGGAUAGCAUGACACAAUUUCACAUAUAUGAUGGCUAACUAAACAGGAUAGCAUGACACAAUUUCACAUUAUGAUGGCUAACUAAAAUAGAUGGAAAGACAUAGUUCAAAAUAUGAGACUAUGUAAAUAGGAUGACAUGACAUAACUAUAUAAUGUGUUUAUUAAAUAGGUUGGCAUGCCAUAAUUCACAUACAUUCAUGGAUAGAAUGCCAUAAUUCUAAAUAUGAUGAUUGUAAACACUAAACAGGAUGAGAUGAUAUAACUAUAUGAUGUCUUUAUUAAAUGGGUUGCCAUGCCAUAAUUUAGAUAGAUGAUGUGUAUGUACUAUGUAAACAUGAUGGCAUGAUAUAAUUCAAAUAUAUGAUUUAUAUAGUAAGCAAGUAAGCAGAUGGCAAUCUAUAUAUGAUGUAAAAACUAAGCAAUGCAAGACAACAUGCAUGACAUGGGUAAUAUAACCCUGCCAAGUUUGAGCAUAGACCUCAGUGGGGAAAUAGGACUGGUCAUCAGUCUCUGAAUCCUCCUCUGAGGAGCUCUCUGUAGCCAGCAAGAUGUCUUCUUCAGCAGGUAGCAUUGUCUGCUCUGAAUACCUUGUUUUCACUCUAGAUACUUCCGUCACCGCUUCAAAUGGCUAAUGCAUAGGAAGAGUAGUUGAAUAUACAAACGUUGUCGACAAAUGGAACACGUAAUACAAAAAAAUGAUAGCAUGAUAUAAUUCACAUACAUGAUGAUUGGCUAAACAGCAUGGCAUUGCAUAAUUCACAUAUAUAAUGCCUUUGCAACAAGAUAGCAUUGUAUAAUUCACAUAUAUAAUGUCUUGCAACAAGAUAGCAAUGCAUAAUUCACAUUUAUGGUAAUUAGACACUGAACAGGUGGCAUUCACACAAAGCAUGUCUAAACUAAUCAAAUGGCAUAGAAAUGCGAGCCACCAUACGCACGAUAUGAGCAACAUAACCCUGCCAAGUUAGAGCAUACACCUCGGGGGGGGGGGGAAUAGGACUGGUCAUCUGUCUCUAAAUCCUCCUCUGAGGAGCUAUCCGUACCCAGCGAGAUAUGUGCUUCGUCAGAUAGCAUAAUCUGCUCUGAAGACCUUGUUUUCACUCCAGAAUUUGCCAUCACCGUGUCAAAUGGCUGAUGCACACGAAGAGCAGUUGAAUGUACUAACAUUGUUGACAACUGUAAUAUGUAACAGAAAAAAAAGAUGGCCUGAUAUAAUUUACAUAUAAGAUGACUGGUUAAGCAGGAUGGCAUUGCAAAAUUCACAUACAUGAUGCCUGGCUAAACAAGGUGGCGUUGCAUAAUUCACAUAAAUGGUGAAUAAACUAAAUGGAUGGCAUUCACACAAAGGAUGUCUAAACUAAGCAGAUGACAUAUUUGAUGUAUAAAGUAAGAAAUGCAAGACACCAUAUGCAUGAUAUAACCAACAUCAGCAUGCCAAGUUAGAGCGAAGACCUCAGGGGGUAAAUAGGAGUUAUCUUCUCCUUCUGAAUCCCCCUCAGAACAUAUAUCUUCCUCUCGAUUACAAUCCGAAAUGUGUGGAGGGGGGGGCUGCCUUUGCGCCUACCAUGGAGCGACGUCUGCAUGAAAUUAUAUUGCCACACAAGGCUCGUCUCUUUUGCUCUACAUGUCCAGCUCCAUUGUUUACAAUAACUGUCAUGCAUAGGAAUAAAACAUAGUGAGAUUAUGUAAGGAGUGCAUGCAGAAAUCCAGAGUGAUGGUAGCAACCUGUGGAUAGACCCAAAACCAAUAAUAGCAGGCAGAUAAUGGCUUCAGUUAAUAAAUACAGAUAAUGGCUUCUUUACUAUUUGUUUCCCACCCAACAUGAAACUCAUAGUAGACACGAGAGAUUAACCAGAUAGUAGAUAGAUACUAUUGAUAGCGGCCCCGAUAUGUACCCCACAACCAUUUAAAAACUCAAGUUUGACCAUUAGUUUGGAGCUGACUCAGAGUCUAAUCGGUGAACAUGACGAUAAAGUAGCAUGUAAUAUUAAGCGAUGCAUAACAUAAGCAGACACGAAAGAGUGCGACCUCUCUUGCGGACCCGUGUAGUCCUCGAGGUCAUCUGCUCGGUUGAUGAUGGUAAUGCAGUUUUCAUGGCUGCCAGCGGCGGGGAAGAAGAUCUGAGGUGGCGAAAGACAGUCUGGAGGACGGAUCCCUGCUAUGCUAGACCCUUCUAUCGUUGGAGCAGCUGAGCUGGGGUGGACGACGGUGCAGAUGGAGCGGGACAAACCACGCAAGGUUUUCUUUGACAACUAUCUGUAAGAGAAGUAAUUCUGUAAGGGCUCAUUUGAAUUGGAGGAUUCCAACAAUGCAGGGAUAGGAAAUAGACAUGAAUAGGAUAGGAAUGCACGUGCAAAACAGAGAAUUUAAAAACACGGGAUUUCUGCCAAUCUGGGUGUUUGAUUCACAACAAUUGGAAGAUCACAGGAUGCAAAGAAGCAUGGUGAGAUUAAGUCAAACCACAAGAAAAUGUACGGUUAUAAUGCUAUUAUGCUACUAUCUCUUAGUCUUGUGUUUCAUGAAUAGGAAUUUGAAAAGGAGGACAAGUGAAAAUUAAAAUUCCUACGUUUUUUCUUUCAAGGAGAUACUAAAGGAACAAUUCCGUGUGCUCAGUGGACAAUAUAUAUAACAUGUUGAGUAAAAAAGAGAUGCAACAACUGUACAACCCCUUUGGCGAAGCCAUGUCGAUCUCAGCGUGAUUCAGUUCGCCGGUGAGGAUGCUCCGGCUGACUUUGCUGUCGGGGGAGGGGAAGAAGAUCUUAGGCGUCUGGAGAUGGAGCCCGAGGUACCGCUCCGCUGUGAUGGAGGGUUUCGUCGUUGGAGCAGCUCCGGUGAGUUGUACACCGCCGAGGCUGAAGCAGGACAAGAGAGACAACGAACAACGUUAACCUGAGUGGAAUUCUAAUAGCAUCUCCAAUACAUGACAUAAAAUACAUAACCACAAAGUGCUAGAUGUAAAAUACAUUAGCCGCUCAUCUCUGAACCUAACUGUCGAAACUGAACUUAACUAUCGAAACUGAACCUAACUGUCGAAACUGAAUUUUGCUGUCAAAACUGAAUUUUGCUGUCGAAACUGAACGCACUAGGUGAGGCUACCCGUCGGUCGACAGACUUUUUCAUCUCUGGUUAGUCGAUUUUGCAGCCGUUGGAUACGAAAUCAAGGGUCUGUGGUUCAUCUUCAACCUCCACCCCCCUGAGCCGCCAGCCACCACCGGCCAAACAACAGCCCCCCGCCGCCGGCGGCCGGCGGUGCGCCACCCCGAAAACACUCCCCACCGCCGGUCCGCUGCCGCCCCGGCCAUCCCUCUAGGCCCCCCCGUGCUGAGCUUUUUCUUCGGCGAUCCCCACGCCACCGCCCCGCCACCGCCGGCGACCACCGCCCCCAUCCUGAACCCUAAGAUAGAUAGUGGGGUACCUCUCCGGCGAGCCCCCAUCCCCGCUGCGGCUAGUUCUUCCUUCACCCCGGCGAGCCCACCCCUAGAAAAUCGACUUACCCAAAAGUCGAUUCAGUCGACUGAAGUGUAGCCAAAUCGGAGCAGCAUCGCAAGCAAGAGCAAGAGCGAGAGAAACAAUGUGAGCAAGAGCAAUAGCAAGAGCAGACCAGCCAGGGGACCGAGAGCAAGAACAGAGCAGCAGCGCGAGCGAGAGCUAAAGCAGCAGCAGCUCCUACUGAUGUGGACGUAGCCGCCGAGGGACCUACGCCGUGGAGGAAGUGGCCGACGACGCCGCCGUGGAUGGAGUCGCGCCGUGUCGGCUCGGGACCGAGCGACGGCAGCACCAUGAGAUCGAAUCAAGAAGAAAAUGCGGCGAUUAGUGUACAACCUCUUUGGUGGCGCCGAUUAGGCCGCAGCUUCAUUCGAGGAAACGGUGAUGAUCAUGCUCUUCCGAUGGUGCAGGUGAAGACGGCGGUGUAGGAAUGGAGGUGGCGCAAAAGACAAGGGGAACGUCGGGGCAGCUCCUUGGAGGUGGAGGACGGGGUGGCUGAACCGGCGGGACGAUGAGAUCGACGACGGAUCCUCAUCCGGUACGGUAGAUGAGGGACGUCGAGGUGUUGCUGUGGACGAUGUCGUCGGGGAAGAGGCUCCGGCUGGGUGGCGGAUGGAGCAGGGUGUGGGGUUUCGUCGCGAGUUUUCGCAGCCUCAGUGUACGAAUGGGUGGGCGGAUGGGAUGGCAGUGGGGAACAAUGGCUUAGGGACGCGCUUGUCCGAAAUGUGGGGUAAGUUAUGAAAGUACCCCCACCAAUUUGAGGUGGUUCUUUCGGUUCAGGGGUACCAUGGGCAUUUCGCGUGUCGGGAUUUCACAUGAGGUGGGAGUUUUCGCGCGCGUUGUAAUUUCGGAAUAGCAAAGCACGGGUUGAGAUGGAGGGAGUUGUCGGAGCACAACGAGACAAAGAUAUAUCUUAAAUAUUUCAGGCUAACAAGGUGCGGGUUGAAAUUUCCGGACAAGCCUACCAAAUCAAUGCGCACAACAAAUGUCAUUCAAAACAUUGAAUUCAUGUUAGGUUCAAUUAAAAUAUUUCGCUACGUGUAUAAUGCAUGCAACCUACUACUCAAAUGAACGUUUUAGUGCAUUCCAAACGUAUAUACUACCGCUUCAAUAUGAACUAAAUUUGAAUAAGAUCUACAGUAAUGAUUGGUGUGAAGUCAAAGCAUUUGAAUUUGUUUCUCUGUUUUAAUAAGAUCUACAAUCAUCAUUAUUGUCAAGUUAAACCAUCGUUUGUGUAUUAUCUUCACAGCACACCACAUGAUUAGUCUCGAGUUACAUAUGAACUAUGUGUACUAUAUGAACUCGAACUAGAUUUUUUGAAUCCACUUUAUUUUGAUUUCAAAUCACAUUACAUUUCUAGCUCUAGCUAGAUCUUCAUAAUCUAAACCAUGUCUCAUAUGUAUAAUGUGUUUAUCACAUUAUGUAUGGUGCCCCGCCCCCUACGCCUCAAAGUAUUUAGAUGUGAGUUACAAACACCACACAUUACCGCAAAUUCAAAUAAAAUAUGAGAAUGUUCGAUAUAUAGUAUUUUUUAGAUUGCUCGAUAUUUAGUUGUAAGCUGCAAACGCCGCACAUUAUCAAAAAUUCAAAUAAAAUGUGAGAUUGUUUGAUGUAUAGUAUGGUUUAGAUUGUUCGGCAUUUAGCUGUGAGUUGGAAAUGCCAUGCAUUAUCACAUUAUGGUAUAACAUGUGCACAACACGUGUAUCACCGCUAUAUUCAUGCAUGCAAUGAUUAAAACACUAUGAUCUCCUAUUCAAAUAUAUGAAUCCGCUUUCAUAUCAAAUUAUGAUCUUUGUUAGUCUCUUACACCCACACAAUCCUCUAACCUUUGUAGCUACCACUAACUUUCUCUCGUGCAUGCACACGCCCUCCUCGCCCUCCCCCUCCCUCGGCAUUCUAUCCACCGGGCACAUUCAUUUUUUCUUUAGGUCGUUCUCCCAGAGUCUCCACAACUCCUUUCCGACACACAUCGAUCGAUAAACCUCUCCAGCGAUGCCUGCCUACAGCAUACACACAUAGCUUUAAUCUCCUCCUUUAUGUGUCCUUGCCUCGUGUCUCUCAUAUGGUCAGGCACACGUGUAAACUCUCGCCCCUCUUUUCAUCGAUCUCACAACCGCACACUCCUCCCCCUAUCUAGCUAGUAGUUGGGCCUCUCGCACCACCUCCUAGCUCCAUUCUCUCUGUCUAUCCGUCUCGCUGGGCCUUAUUUGCCUCUGACAAAUGGACGUACACCGACCGAUCUCUCGCUAUACAUAUAGCCAGCUAGGUCCUUAUAACUCGUUUUUACCCACACAUCGAUCGAUCUACCUCAUUAGUUGUGUCUCUCCCUUCCUCCGACAAACAACAAUUGAUCUACCGAUCUAGUUAGGUUUGCUUACCAAACACAUGGUUCUCCUUCAUCAUCCAUGGAUGCGUCCCGAGAGAUCUAUCAUGCACAGGCACACACAGAAACACAUCCCCACUCUUAUUGAUAACAUUGCAGUUCCACCCUCAGUUUGUCUAGUAGGCCUCUCCCAACAUAUCCGAGAAGCAACUCCAUCACCCAUCAAGCACUCUACCCCUCUCCCUCCCUCUNNNNNNNNNNNNNNNNNNNNNNNNNNNNNNNNNNNNNNNNNNNNNNNNNNNNNNNNNNNNNNNNNNNNNNNNNNNNNNNNNNNNNNNNNNNNNNNNNNNNNNNNNNNNNNNNNNNNNNNNNNNNNNNNNNNNNNNNNNNNNNNNNNNNNNNNNNNNNNNNNNNNNNNNNNNNNNNNNNNNNNNNNNNNNNNNNNNNNNNNNNNNNNNNNNNNNNNNNNNNNNNNNNNNNNNNNNNNNNNNNNNNNNNNNNNNNNNNNNNNNNNNNNNNNNNNNNNNNNNNNNNNNNNNNNNNNNNNNNNNNNNNNNNNNNNNNNNNNNNNNNNNNNNNNNNNNNNNNNNNNNNNNNNNNNNNNNNCACACACAAUUUCGAUGGCUCUCCUCAUCGAUCUCGCACCCACCCGUACUUGAUCCUCUCUUUGGCUCUAUCGAUAGCUAUGACCCCUCCCUCUCUUCUCGUGGAUUUCCCGACCCUCUAUGUAUGAUAUGGACAGGCCUCCAUUUCACACACAUUGCAUGCAAAAAUUUGUUUGAGAUGUCAUCGACACAUAUUCCCACAAAUAAUUCACGAAAUCAACCCCCACCCCACCCCCACCCCCACCACAAAACAAAAAACACUCACGAACGCGGUUUGUAUCUCUCACACACACCCACGUAGGUGGGGGACGUGCACGAAGAGAAGAGGUGCAUGCACGGCGCACGUACUCCCAUUUCUUUCCCAACCANNNNNNNNNNNNNNNNNNNNNNNNNNNNNNNNNNNNNNNNNNNNNNNNNNNNNNNNNNNNNNNNNNNNNNNNNNNNNNNNNNNNNNNNNNNNNNNNNNNNNNNNNNNNNNNNNNNNNNNNNNNNNNNNNNNNNNNNNCCCCCACCACAAAACAAAAAGCACUCAAAAACGCGGUUUGUAUCUCUCACACACACCCACGUAGGUGGGGGACGUGCACGAAGAGAAGAGGUGCAUGCACGACGCAUGUACUCCCGUCUCUUUCCCAACCACACCCGCACGGGUACACGGUGGAGCUCAUUUCUGUACGAAAAAGGCAGCCCACGUGGUAAUUUGGCAUGUGUACUGGUUGUCCACUUGGUGGAGGGAGGAUCGUCUACCACGGGUGAACAAACAAAUUGCGACUUGACGUGUUAUGUUAAAUUAAAAAAAGAGGCAAACCAUGUGGGGCCUAGCUUAGAGGCAAGGCUAUAUACACUGGAGUACUUUUGAUGUGUCCCAUCAACUCGCAGAACGAGGAGAAGCUUGCUUAGUACGCCGUCUCCCCCGCCCAUGGGCGCGGUGGCUCGCAGGAUGAGGUGAAUCUUGCUCCUCCCUCGCCCAUGCGCGCAGUGGCUCGCAGGACGAGGAGAAAAAUUUACUACUCCCUCCGUUUACUCCUCGUCCCUACUACCUUGGUUAUAGAGAUUAUAUCAUAUUGUUUGGAACAUAUAUGUCCUUUAGUAGAUUUCAAUAUGAACUACUAGUACAUACUCCAAACACUGAUGUAUAUAGACGUAUUUUAGAGUGUACAUUCACUCAUUUUGCUCCGUAUGUAGUAGCACUCAGUUUGGGUGUUUGGUAGAGUGCAUGGAGGGUGCAUGAGUCCACACUAGUUUAGCACAAAUACACUAGAAGCAUGCAUGAAGAGAGCAUGCAUGAAGAGGGGUGUUGAGUUGAGCAUGCAUGAAGAGGGAACAACUAUGCUGAGACGAGAACGCAACCAAACACACCCUGUAUGCCACACAUGUUCAUACAAUUUGUGCCUUUCUACUUCACUUAUUGCGCUACAUUACUCAGGUUCGUACGUCCACUCCUGGGUACAUGUCCGUCUCGUAGUUCCAGUGCCACGUGUUCUUCAUAUAGAUGGAACGAUCGUUGCAUAACACGUGCACCUUGAUGCUAGAUGUCUCGCGUGUUGGCAAAAGGAUGAACAAAGCUCACGUAAAAAAAUAGAGUGGAAGAACAUAGAUUCUGGACGACCGAGAAGGAGCAAGGAACCUCGUGGUGGAGCGUCUGCACUCAUGAUAUUUAAUAUUAUUCAGCGAUAUAAAAUUAACCAAUCAUCUCCACAGUGGACUGGAAGAGUACAAAACACGGCAGCCCAGUGUAGUUACAUCAUACUAGUAAGUACAUGGCUAAUCCACGCUAUCACCAUAUUUCUUGGCUUCUGUGCGACACCUAUCUCUAGUAAUCCAGCAGCCUGUAUCGCUUCUCCCUCCUCGUCUCUAUCAAAGUGCGGCGGGUUGGCGUUUUUGCCAUCUAUUGAGGUCGGUUAACUAUCACAUGUUAGCGACAUGCCAAGAGCAUUCUAAAAAAAAUUCCUUUCAUUUUCCGUUUUCAAAAAGAAAAAAAAUCCUUUCACGUACGAAUUUGCAUGUAUGCUUUUGAGCAACUUGCAUGUCCUAUAUUGCUCCUGUUUGAUACUCUAACUUAGCUAUAUGUUAGACUAACUCAUGACUAACCCUGAACUAACUGUAGCCAAAGAGGUGUUUGGGUGACAGGGUUAGAUUGACAAUAAAUGCACUUCAUGGAGAGAGAAAAGUGAUUUUUCAGUGGUCCCAAUGAGAACUAUCUCCAGUUAGCACCUCUUGGGUGGGAUAGUUUUUUUGGUGGGUUCGGUGCAACUUGCUCCAAUUUAAACCCUCAUGCUUGGAUACUUUAGGGCUAUUUGAGCCCCAACUAGCUCAAACUAACUCUAACCCAUGGAUCGAAACAGGGCCUAUGGCCAGUCUCGAUGCGAAGCAGUCGCGUGCACCGGGAAGCGGCGCUCUCUCGACCGUCACGCCACUUCAAAGCCAGUGCCAGUGAGAGGUCGCCUCCGCUCUAGCCGGGCAUUAAUGCGGCACUGACGCUCCAGGGCGACGUUGACCGUUCCACGCGGGAAGCGCGCGCUGGCAAGGGAGUAUAGGUUUUGAACCAUUUUAGACGUAUUUUAGAGUGUACAUUCACUCAAUUUGCUCCGUAUGUAGUAGCACUCUCCCUCGCCCCUCGACCCUCGCCCACGUGGUGGACGUGCAGCAAUUCAUUCGGUCUCAUAUAGCCAAAACGAUAUAUACUGUACUACCAUUAUUGCUCGACUUCCCGAAGAGGCGAAGAGCCAAUCGCAAGGUUAAUAUUUUGGAGAUGCUAAGCGCAAGGUUAUAGGAGAACGAGUAGUAGGUGCCACGUCAUUUAUAAAUAAUUUUUUUUUCUUCAGUGGCACGUAUGCAAUAUGAUAGGUUCAUAUGGAGAGAAAAGGAAACCGCUCCACUAUAUACAUAGUCAGGACGGGCCAACCUACACGGUUGCUUGCUGGGGUAGCUCUCUUCACACUCUCUCGCACAAAACGACUGUGGCCACAUCUCUAACAUCCCGGUGGAUCACGUCCGCUUGGGGAAGGGGUGGAUGCUUAGUGUAGAUGCGGUGGCUGUUGCCGACAGCGAAAACCCACUGUCGGCACGUCCCGAUCAAGGGUCCCCGCCGUUCUCUCUCACAAAGCCGGUGAGGUUUCCUUCAUCCCUUGAUCACUGUCGUGACAUGGGCAGUUGCCGCCUCCCGCCGCCCUCCUCAAGGUUGAGCUACGUCCCUCAGGUACAACUCCCUUUACAGCCAGCUUGCACCACUGCUCCAGCUGCCCACAUCACUCCCUGUGGAUAUUUCUCUACUUCUUUGCCCCACACAUACCUGAUACCUCUACUGGCUUCUACGUACUGUAUUUGUGAUGAGUUUAUGUCUCAUCAACUAGUCCUAGUAAUCUUAUUCUAUCACGCUUCUUCAAUUUCUUUGCCACAGGGAUGCUCAUCUCGAUUUUGGUGAAACUGCACAAAAUGAACCGAUGGUCAAAAGGUUGCAAACUUCAUUUAUUAGGCAGCUCGAACAUUGCCAGCAAAUUGAAGCCUGGUCAGGGUUCACGGUUCAAGGGCUAGGGACUGCAUGGAUCAUUUUUUUCUUUAGCUACCUCUAUUCCAAAAUAAGUGUCAACUUUAGUAGUAGUACAACUUUGUACUAAAGUUUGCACAAAGCUGAGACACUUAUUUUGGAAAGGAGGGAGUACAUAUUUGCUAUGAUCUGUCAAUCAUUGAGAUGCAAUAGCAUGCAUGUUAGUCUCCUUUGUAUUUGAUGAAAUGUUGCAACAGGCAACCUUGGACGCAAGAUACAUGUAACAGGAGCUGGAAGCUUCAUAGCAUUGUACAAAUUUAUCUUGCUGAUAAAUUACAGUAUGUACUAGUACUAUACUAGUACUUCCUCCGUUCCUAAAUAUAAGUCUUUGUAGAGAUGUCACCAUUAACCACAUGCGGAUGUAUAUAGAUGCAUUUUAAGUGUAGAUUCAUUCAUUUUGUUCCGUAUGUAGUUCACCUAGUGGAAUCUCUACAAAGACUAAUCUACUAGUACUAAUAGCUAGCCCUCGCUAGUAGGAAUUCUCUAUCCUCUCCUUGAGCCACAUCAUCAAAAUUGACGUAGCCGUUAGAUGAAGUAAAUCAGUCAGAAUAGCCAUCUGAUCUAGAUGUUGAGAGGCUCCGCACUAAGCCACAUGCAAGCAUGCAGAAAUACCGUGGCACAUGCAUGUGAGUGGGUUUUAAAUCACAUCAACAUGUCUGCAUGCAAGCAUGCACCGGUAGCAUGCAUGUAAGUGAGCUUUUAAGUCCCAUUAACAUGUCAAAAAGAAAAAUAUAAUCCCAUUAUGCAGUAGGAGUUGGCUGAUCUUUUUUCCUUACGUGGGAUGAUCUAAAUGAUGAUGGGAGUUUAUUAAGUUUGGCUACCACAUUUGUCAUGCGGUUAUAGAUUUUUUUUUGUUCUAUGAAAUCGAUAAUUUUGCGCAGAGAGAUAUAUCGCUGUUCCGCGGCAACGCGCGGGGACUCACGGUGAUAGUGUGAGGUGGGCCAUGUAAUCACUGAGCCUGCGUGUUUUCACUGCUCUUGCACUCCUCCGCUGUAAGAAUGGAGAAAAUUGUAAUCUACUACCUCCUUUCACCAAAAGCGUGGGACAUCCAGCAGUCCUACCACCUCAGUAAUAAAGACCAAUGAGCCGUCAAAUCACAUAGACCCAGCAGUAAGUUGGACGGACAAAGCAACCAUCACUCUUGCGCCAGUGAGAGGUCGCGUCCGAUCUGCCCGGGCAUGAAUGCGGCACCGAUUCUUUGGAGCGGCGCUGACCGUUUCGGGCGGGAAGCGCGCGCGGGCGAUGGAGGGGCUUUGGGUGGGCCAGGCUGGUUAGGAGCGGGAGUGGAAGCUGUCCGCAUGUCCCUACCAGACACGCCCGGAAACGAGAGGAUGCACCGACUCUCGCGGCUAAAAUCGUACACUACACACCAUAUCUCUGUAGGAGUAGGUCGAUCUGUCGCACUCUCUAACACACACAUGCUGUUAAACACACACAUGCACAUGCACACACCUUGGUCCCGUUGCACCUUCUAACGUGACUUAUUACACCUAGAUGGAGGGAGUAGUAAGUAUACGAGAUACGGUGGCACACUAACUUAAGUCAAAUACAAGUGCCCAAAAUUUGUGUGCAUGUUAUAAUAAGGAUUCACUUAAAAUAGUACGUGAGCGAACAGAGGGAUCAAUUGGACAGUGUUCCCGAGCAGUAGCGAGAUGUGUGAGGUAGUAAGAUACACCGCUGGCACUUUUAAUUUUUCUUAUUAAUUUGUUUGUUUCACCCUCUGACUGGUGGGACCCAACGUACUACGUGGAGAGAGGUAAGGUGACUAAGACUGCAUUAUUUCUGCAUCACUGUGGAUAGUCUUACCACCAAAGCCACAUGACACGAUUAUGAUUGAAAUCCUAAUGACUCCCACACACACACAAAAAAACACG
This 58332-nucleotide long non-coding RNA is filed under the name Triticum aestivum (bread wheat). Its description in RNAcentral is "long non-coding RNA (TAES_LNC008115)". The stretch from base 2777 to 2863 matches the Rfam family "MIR1120/MIR1122 microRNA precursor family". Lineage: Eukaryota; Viridiplantae; Streptophyta; Magnoliopsida; Poales; Poaceae. The record is from RNAcentral.